RNAcentral lists this long non-coding RNA (82502 nucleotides) under Triticum aestivum (bread wheat). RNAcentral's name for it is "long non-coding RNA (TAES_LNC017458)". The record is from RNAcentral. Lineage: Eukaryota; Viridiplantae; Streptophyta; Magnoliopsida; Poales; Poaceae.
AUGGUCAACCAAGAUGAUCAUGCGGCGAACACAAGUACCAACGCUACCAUCAUCAACUCAACAUCUGUAGGCGAGAGCAAGAAAACCGAGAAAUUUUGCAGCCUCUUUCUCAUAUGUUAUUUGAACAUUGAGAUUCGUGCUGAGUGCUACUGUUGCGAGAAUAAGAAUGCCGACUGUUACAAGACGAAGACUGAGUGCCUGCAGAAGUGUCAUUCCUACAACGGUUAAUGCCCACCUUCAUCGCGGUUUCUGGGAUAGAAUUCCAUAUGCUCGGAAAAUUUGUCCGUCGGUAAUAAAAGGCACCUUAUAUGGUUUGGGCAAUUAGGUUCCAAUUAAACAUUAGAUAGCCCGCAUGUUUCCGUGGAGAUCCAACAAGGAAAAAUUUGAUGAAAGAAAUCCGAGUAACUAGUUGUCUUGCAUAUUUACAAAGUUCAAAUCCUUUGGUUGUUGUGCUUUGACUCGAUUGUCUAUUAUGCUGUUUCAUUUACUUGCACAUUGCCCACUUGUUCAUUUAACACACAUCACCCACUUGGUGAUUUGGCAGUUGUGGGCAGACAGUCAUAUAGAUUUAUUUUUUUUGAGAUCUCGUCAUAUAGAAUUGUAAUAGCACUGACAUGGAAAAAGUUAAAAACUGAAAAAAGUAAAUCAAACAAACAAAUGGUGCGCAAACUAAAUCAAACGGCACAAGACAAGUGAGAUUUAGUCAGGACUCUUUCAGAUGAAGAUAAGUAAAUUGCAAGAAAACAACAUGCAGAAACAUUUUUAUAUCGUAGCAUAACAUGCAAAAAAGCACAUAUAUAGUACAACGACAACCCACGUGUCUAUAUGCUAUCUAUAUGUAUAUCUAUCUAUCUAUAUCUAUCUAUCUAUCUAUCUAUAUAUCUAUCUAUUUAUACCUACUAAUAAAAGACGGAGCAUUUAUGCCCAUCCGUCUCAUAUUUUGCAACAAAAUACCCUACAUUUUUCUUUAAUUAACCCGCGGUCAAGGUUUAGGUGAGGUUCGUCCGUUGUGCUUUUGCAAAGAACGAGGAAACGGUUGCGUUUUGUAAGAUUCAAACUCAUGAUGUCGCCUCCAUGCCCAAAAGCCACAGCCAACUGAGUUAGCAUGCACUUGUGCUACUAAAUAGGUCCAUUAUUUCAUUAAAUUGUCCAACUUUGAUACUUUGCAUGAGAAUACGCAAAUUUAUAUGUGAUUGCAAAUUGCCUAGAAAUCAACAAGCCAACUCGAUAACCAAGAAAUAGAGGGAGAGGAGGAAUUCACUCAAUAAAUAGUGUUAACUAGCAGGGUUUCCCGCGCAUUUGUGCGGCUAUAUUGACCCUUUCCGAUGCCAACUAUAUGGCCUUUCACUAAACUAUAUUUCGAUUAAAUUUACACCCUGUAUAUGUCAUCAUAGAAAAAAUGAAAAUCGUAAUGAAACAUGCAAGUGCAUUAGGUUGUUCAUUUUAAUAUAGAAGUGCAUUAGGUUUUUAAAUAAAUUCCUUGGCAUGUCAGGUUGCAACACCGAUAAAAAACCAUGUAUGGGAUUUCAUGCCAAUCUUGGUGUUUUUCCUCUUUGAUCACUCCUCCUUUGUAUCAUUUAAUAGGUUUUCGAGAAAUUCCCUACCAAGACAUAAAUCUAAACAUGAAAUUCCGGUAUGUAAAGGUCCCUUUUUCUAGUCAUAUCAAUCAACGGACGCAUUCUUAACUACCUUUUCUUGAUUAUUGCUGCCUACCCACUUAUGUAUCAAGAGAUUCACAUCUUCUAUCGUGCUUAUUUUUUCUAUUGAUAAUAUUUUACAAAAUAUUAUCUUUGACUCCCUCCCUUUUAAUUUCUGAAGACUUUGAAAGUGAAGAAAUUGGUGUGACCUUGAAGACUUGGUAUUCAUUCGAGGAACAUGAAGCGUGAAGACUUUUGUUUUUGUAGUUUCAUUUUCUCUUUCUUGAGUCAUAGGAAACAUCGUACUGUUAAGGGGGUCGAGGAAAUACUAAGGAAAAAUUUCCAAGUGAUGCUCAACUCAAAAUCCUACACCUACCAAUCCCUUCGAGUGAAGCCAUUGGAAAUCUCAUGCAGUUCAAUCAAUUUCUUCAGUGACAGAGACGAAGUACUUCUGGUCUCUGAGAAAUUUGUUCUGACUGAGAAGUUAGGAAUUCGCCAGUGCGGAUUACCUACAAGUGAGGAACAUGAUAGCCCUGAGGAAUUAGACACUCAAAAUUCCGACCGUUGCUGUGCUAUGCGCCAGCUGUCCCAAAAUAUCUUACCCACCUAACGGUCAUAUCAUUGAAGGGCAUUUAUGUCUUAUCAUGUAGGGCUGCUCCCUAGGCUAUAAAUAGCCGCCCCCUACAACCACUAGCUGGUUGGCUGCUCCGAGAGAAACUGACACUUGUCAUUUGAGAGCAUCCCAUCCUCCGAGGACUUUGAGCGAAAAUCAUCAAGUGAGGAAAACCCAAACCCAAACACCUAAAAACCCAAAGUGAUUGAGCAUCACCGAAGAGAUUGAUCCUGCGUGGAUCCGACGCUUGUUACCUUUAAAGACUGUGCAUCUUCCAGACGGUUAGGCGUCAUGGUCUAGAGCAUCCAAGAGGAAAUUGUGGAUCGCCGAGUGACAGAGUUUGUGAAGGUUUGGAAGUCACCUGAAGACUUACCACGAGUGAUUGGGCGAGGUCUGUGUGACCUUAGCUCAAGGAGAAUACGGUGAGGACUGUGUGUCCUCAGGUUUAAAUACCUAGCUGCUCCAACCAGACGUACAACCACUACAAGAAAUAUGUCAACUUGCGACCACCACUAUUGGUCACUGAAAGGUCAUUGUUUUUUAUUUGCGGCCUUUUUUUGACCAAAAACAGAAGGUCAAAAGCUGGCGGUCGUAAACUAAAAUUAACGACAUAUGUAAAAGGUCGUUGGUUCUUCGACCGAAAUUUUGGUCACUAGCAGCCUUCCCAAGCCACGUAAGAUCCAGCGUGGCAAGCUGACAUGGAUAAGAUUCAACCCAGUCCGAUUAGGUGUCUAUAUGGGCCAAGCCCAUUAAUUCAGCCCAUUUAUAUUUUUUUUCUGCUAAUUUUUGGUCGACUUCAUAGGCCAAGCCCAACAAUUCAGCCUUCUAAUUUUCUGGGCCAUGGCCCUUUUGCAGACCAUUUCUUUAAGCAUUUUUGUUCAAGUUUUCCAGAAAUAAAUAAUGUGUCAGUCCACUAUUAUUUGGGCCAUAGCCUUUUUAGAGCCCAUAUAUUAUUUGGUCCAAUAGAACAUUUGGUCUUUUUAUCCACUGAUUUCCAGUUUACACAUUUGGAUAGCAAACACUCAAUAAUUCUCUUGAUUAAAUGAUUAAAUUCAGAAAUCAUUCAGCCAAAUACGCACAACAGCACAUACAAGUCCGCACGUCCAACAUCAACUAAAACAAGCAAAAAUAGAUACACAUGCACGAUACACAAGCGCAUACAAGUGUGCUUACAAGCAAAAACAGAUACACAAGCACCAAAACAUGGUGCAACAUCAACUAAAACUGUGGUGCGCAUCUCCAUGCCUCUUGAUCUUCCGUCACAGCAGCAGCAGCAGCCUAAACAACAUUAGAUCCUGAUCCAGAUCACCAAAAAGAAACAUUAUUAAAUGUUUAGAGACAAUGCCAUCAACAUGAGGCGGUAAUCCAACUUAACACUUUGUCAACAUAUUUUACAUAUGCAAAUAACUAAGAUUAUACUGUAUAAGUUUAAGAUCCAAAUGCAAUAUGAAACUGAAUUGCCAAAUAGUAGCAUGUUUAGACAACUUAACAACAUUAUUAAUACUACUUCAGAUUUGGGCUAGUAGAAGGCCAGGCAGAAUUCAUGAGAACUUUAUUGAAUUCAUUCAAUAGAGGAUAGCACAAACAAAAAACACACUGUCAAAAUGAAUCAUGACUGGAAUUGUAGAUGUUCUGUCGGUUAUACUAUAUUAAACUGAGCCAAUUAUUGUAGGUGAAAGUAAUGCUCCUAGUAUAUCAUCAUCAUUAACAUCAAACAAUUCUGAAUGUAAUCAGAGGAAGCACAGCCCGAUCAUGUGCAAUCAACUCAUAAUAAAAGGGUACAGAUGAUUAUUAGUGUUACUAUUAACUUGAUGGUGGCAUCUUAUAUACAAAAACAUGUAUUCCAAAAAAACAAUCAAUAGGGCCGCUGGAAGGGGAGCCCCGGCUCUAGCAAAAGGUCUUAAUGCUUUAGAGAAAAACAGAUUUAGACAAAUAGGAUUUAGUCAAUAGAACCCCAGAAACCCAUAAAAUCACUUCACAUCCUGAUUCAGCGUUUUGUGUUGAAAUAUUGGCCAUCACAAGUAAUUUUGUGCAAGUCUCAAAACAAGGCAAUAAUGAUAUAAUUACUGAAGCCGCUGAUAUGGUUAGAUUAUUUGCAAGUGACUUCAAACAGAACAUAUGGCAUGCCUUAGUCAUGCCCUAAGGCUAAACAGAACAUAUUUAAGCACCUCCAUGAAUACAGCCAAGUCUCUUAACAUGCUUCUACUACAGAAAUCAUAACAACAGCAGGGUCAAGUUGAGUUAGCUGCAGACCUAGUUGAGUUGUCCCCUUCGCUUGGAGAGGACGACGAUCUCGUCGUUGCCCACGUCCCCCGCCAGCGGCCGACUGCUUCUCCACGGUCUGGAGGGUCAGGCAGAAAUCAUACUGCCAUAGUGUGCCCCUGGUUAACCCGAAUCAGCAGCUCUCCAUCCUACUCCAACAGACUGAACCUCUGCUUGCUAUCUCACCUGACUGCCUACACGCAAGAAGGCAAAAAAAAAACAUUCACUCAAAGCAUCUUACAAUUCACAACAAAUUCGAGAUUGACCCAAUUAAUAAUACAGCAUAUAGAGAUUUCAUAAUCAAAGUUCAUGCUGCUAGGCUGCUAGCUAUCAAGAUGAAAACAACAUGUAGCAGAUACAAGCAUACCAGGAAAGGUGGGCUAGGUGUUUAGUAAGAUCGUCUACUGUUCAGCAGGAAGAUGGGUCAUGACCAAAUAUUACCUCCCUGAUUUCAUCCACCGUGUGGGACUUGAGGGGAACCUUGGCAAAGGUCUGCAGGCUGAGGCCGAGCAGGUCGAGGACCCGCACGUAGUCGUCGCUCUUCAUGCCCAGGCUCAGCUCCGACGCCAUGUGCCGCAAGACCAUCGCCCUGAGAAGAGAAGCACAGACAGAAGGCAGCCGUGAGUGGGUGCCAAGGGAAAAAACAUAAGCCACAACCGAGAAUUGCAAGAUUUAGUAUAAAGGAAAUAGGAUUUCAUAGAUCACCUAACAUGGGUUGCAUUGAAAUCCAAAUGAGUCAACAAAAAUUGACUCCCAUCAACGGCGGGUAUGCGGUAGCAGCUGUUGUCAUGGCAACCAGAAACUCAGAAAUGAUAUUGGCGGCAAACCCAUUACAUGUACCAGACGCCACCCACCUAUCAAAAUUGAUAAACACUUCAGUUGUGUCCGAUCCUAUUGCAGGGCUCGGAAAUGACAAUGCCACAACCCUUUGCAUGUACCAGACCCCAUAAACCUGUCCAAAUUGCUAUAUGCACGACCCGUUACAGUCCACAGUUACAGGAUAUGAUAUGCUCAGAAAUGAACAAAUGCCAAAACCCUUUUACUUGUACCAGACCCCAACCACAUGUAGCUAGCAAAUUAAUCACUUCACGCGUCUGAUCCUCUCAAAUGCUAGACUUGAAGAACAUCAACAAGGCCAACUAAAAUCGGACCCUCCCAAUCAUGGAUUUGGCUCCCAGGUAAGUAAUAAAUCACGCAUCUGAUCAGGUAAAGAGGAAUCAAGAAUAGGAGAAGGUUACCAAUCCCAGCUCUCGGAGGUGUUCUCCACCAGGUUGGGUUGGGUUGUGCGCAGACGUCGUAGAUGAUCGGCUUCUCGAACCACCAGAUGACGAUUUGGGUCCCCUCGGUGUACACCUGCAUGGAGCAAACGCCCAAGGGCGACCAGAAAUCAACCGCAGACCAAACGCGCAGAGAACAACAGGGAGCAAGGGACCAACCGCGGACCAAGCCGCCGUGGCCGCAGAUCCUGGGUGGUCGCUCGCGGAUCCGUCGGCGUCGAAGAUGGAAGGCUGGUCUUGGUGUUUGUCGUGGAAUUGUCACGGCAGAUGUCCUUAGCGUGAGGACUUAGUCGUGAGGCCAGCGCAUCUAUGUAGUAGGUUGAGAGGGGUUGAUUGGGAUGAGAGACGCAGGGCGGAUCAACGCACAAGACAAGGGUUUAGACAGCUUCGGGCCCCGGGAAAUAUCAUCCGGUAAUAGCCCUACAUGCUGUUUGUGGCUAGGUCUCAUUAUACUCAUAAGAGAAUCGCCGGUAAGCCGGCUCUUUGUGUCUAACCCUAGAUAUUGUUUCUUGUUGCUUGUCCCUCUUUGGGGUGCCCUGCCCCUCCUUAUAUAAGUUAGAGGGGCGGGUUACAUGUGGAGUCCUAGUAGGACUAGGACUAGUCUAUCUUCUCUUACAAGUUAAUUACAAGUCCGGGUCUUGCUUCCUCGUAAAGGAAGUAUUCGUCAUCCCUUUCUUCUUAAGCCGGCCCAUCAUAUACGUGAGCCGGCCUUCUGGGCCUUGGGCCUUGUUGUCCAUCUGACCCGCCCGCCGGGUUACUAAUGAGUCGCCAAGAUCGGGCAGGUUAUCUGUGAAUCGCCAAGCUCCGGGCGGGUCACCAGUGAGUCGCCAAUUCCGGCCGGGUCAUACCGCGGGGUAUAUCCCCGACAGUGUUGGCUGAUGAAGACGUCGGGGUCCUUCUUCUCCUCCAACUCCGUCCGUCAGGUACCCAUCCCAUCAGCGCCGCUCCGCUCCGACCGCGAACCCUAACCCUAACAGAGAAGGAUGAGGGAGCUUGUGUGCGGCCAGACACGGAGAUGGAGGCGGACGACGUAGGUAGGGAAGGAAGGAAGGGGAGGGGAGGUUGGCGCACGGCGGCGACAGGCGAGGUCGGUGGUGGCGGCGGGGAGGGGAUGGGGAGGGAGGUAGCGGCGGGGAGGGGAUGGGAAGGGGAGGAAGCGACGAGUGGUUGGGCAGGGUUCGCGAGGACGAGGAGUGGGUGCAGUGGGUUUUUUUCUCCUUUCUUCAGAUGGAUGGAUGGAUGGACGUGGGAUUGCUAGCAAUGGAUGGUAGGAUGUCUGCCAUGUCAUCGAUCCGUGUCAUACAUGGUUCCACCAAUCAAAAUCCAGCUUAUGUAAUUGUGUUUCUUUCUUUUGUCUCCUUUAUAUUUUUUAACCUCUUAUUUGGGGUAAACACUCAACAUAUUAGCCUCAUGUUGUAUGUUUAAAUGACCCAAUAUUGUGCACAUAUGUGUAUCUUAGGAUUUCAAACAAUGAUGAUUUUGUGGUCUUCAUUUGCAUUGCACACAAAAAGAAUUCAUUUUUCGAGUGCCCCAAAUGACUUUUUUUGUGAAGAACCUACCAAAUAAUUGUUGCACAAUUGGACCAACUCAUUUUUCUAAAAUACUAGGACAUAUUUAAUUCACAAUUGACCAAAUGGUUGGGUAUAAAAAGUUUUGAUCCACCUCUGGUGAAAAAGACAAAUUUCCGCUGAUUCAGUUGGAAGCGGGUCAAAUUUGAACUGCGGCUGCCUCAUAGUUUGCUAUUUAUUUUUCUCAAAAAUCAUUUCUAGGUACAAAAGUAUCUAUUUAAUCAGAGAAACACCAAAAAAAUUCCAAGAUUCAACCACUAGCUAGGAACGGUCAUUCCCGCCGUUUUGACCGCAUUUUGAAACAGGCAUAAAAAUUUCAAAACAAAUCAAAAAAAUUGUAAAACCUUCGCAUUGUGCCAUUAUAUGUGACCAAGUUACCAGGAAAAAUAAUAAACUUGUAAUACGGCAAUUCUUUUAAAAAAGUGUUCUCAGAAAUGAGCUAUCAUGUGUGAAGAUUCAUGGCUUUCAAGUCAAAUGAUCAAUCUUAUGGCCAAAUUCAUGGCCUAGUUUGUUCAGAUGGUCUCAUAUUGUGCACAAGGGUGCAUCUUGGAAUUCCAAACAAUGUUGCCUAAGUGAGUUUUCAUUUUCUUUGCACGGAAAAUUCAUUUUCCAUUUUUCGAGUGCCCCAAAUGAGGUUUUUUUUAAGGAACUACCAAAUAAAUGUUGUAAAAUUGGACCAAAUCAAUUUUAUAAAAUACUAGGACAUGUUUAAUGCACAAUUGACAAAAUGGUUGGGUGUAAAAGGUUUUUAUCCACCUUUGGUGAAAAAGACAAAUUUCCGCGAUUCAGUAGGAAGCGUGUCAAACUUGAACUGCAACUGCCUUAUAGUUUGCUCUUUAUUUUUUCCAAAAAUCAUUUCUAGGUACAUAAGUAUCUAUUUAAGCAUAAAUACAUGGUUUGGUGGUGAUACGUUGAGGUUUGGACGGUGGCCCACGGCCCCAACUCCAAAGCGCGUAGACUCACAUGCCCGCCGCGUGGUCAUCGCGUGACCGUGGCGUUGCCAUGCGUUCUGGGAAGCCUAGGCAUGCCUAGUAGGUUUGGCAAUCCCAAGGUAGAUGCUUGGAAGAAAAUAACAACAGAAGAAUCUCACGAGGAGACCGAACAAUGCUCAAACAUGAAUUAGCACCCAAGUGUUUGAUUAGUGGUACGGGAAAUUCACAUGGCCAAUGGGCCUGAGUUUUGGCCGAGGAUGAUCAUCUACUAAGGACACUAUCUUGGAAAAUUUGCAGCUCAAAUGGAGGAGCCUAGGUGUCACUCGCUUUGCAACGUACCACACUGAACAGAAAUAUGAAUGUUGAAGCCACACUCACAUGUAUUGUUAGAUGGGGCUCAAAUUUUGUGGAGAGCUAUGAUUUGGGAAUAUAGAAGAUGUGGCAAAAAUUCAGCUCAUUAGGAUAUGCCUAGCUAGUACUUCCUUCACAACAGUUCGAGUUGAACAAAAACUUUGGAAAUUUGCCGAGGAAGAUUUACCAGGCAAAUGGAGUUGAAUAUUGUCAUGAGGCAAUGAUUUGGAUAGUAAAGAAUGCCCAAUUUUUUUUGGGAAUUUUGGGAAUGACAGAAAUAUAGGUUGCUUCACAACCUAGGGCAAAAAUUGACACAUGGACAUGACACAUAAGCAAAACUGAUGAGGUAGCGCCUAGUCAUAGCAAUAAGUACCAAUGCAUCCACGUUCACAACCUCAUGACCAUUUAUAUUGGUCGUAAUAAGGUAGAAAUAAGGUCAUUGGCCACUCUUGUCUGCUUUGUGACCAUUUGGUGUAAGCAAUUUCAGGGUUUGAGCCCUUCCAAGUGAAAUGGCCGUGGAUUUAUGACCAAUUCAGCUGGGGUCACUAAGAGAAGGUCACAAGUUGACAUAUUUCUUAUAGUGAACUGUCACAGCAGUUGGAACUGGUCUACCAAAUCAUUGUCUUCACCAAGCCUACUGGUUCUAUUUCCUCGACUCUUUCAUUUCCUCAUUACUGUGGUGUGUGCUUGUUCAUAUAUGUUUGAAGACUUUGACUCAAGACUUUCUCAAUUUCCUCAGUUCAAUUUCUUCAGUCUAUUUUGUCUUCAUCCUAUUUUAUCCUGUGCUUACGCUUCCUGUACUCCGUGUCUGUUUUCAUUUCAGCAUGAUGACCAUGUUUAUGUUAUGUCAUGUAUGCAUCUGAGUACUUAUUCCGCUGCAAGUAGUUCUUCGCUAAGGAAUUUCCUCACCCUGAAAUUCAUCAGUGAAGAAUUCAUAAAAAUCGCCUAUUCACCCCCCUCUAGUCGAUUUAACGCACUUUCAUCGUCACAUUAGCAACGCCAGACGCUGAGACGAGCACGUGACACCAAGCCCACCUUGUCUAUCUUACGGUAACGCGAGUCGAGGCGGACGUCGACGCGGUAGCGACGACGGACGCCGAGAUGAGUACGUGACACCACUGCCACCCUGUCUAUCUUAGGGCAACGCGAUUCGACGCGGACGUUGUCGCGGUAGCGAUGAAGGAUGCCGAGACGAGCACGUGACACCACUGCCCCUGUCUAUCUUAGGGUAACGCGAGUCGAGGCGGACGUCAUCGCGGUAGCGGCGACGGACGCCGAGACGAGCAUGUGACACCACUGCCACCCUGUCUAUCUUAGGGUAAUCCGACUCGAGGGGGAUGUCAUUGUGGUAGCGACGACGGACGCCGAGAUGAGCAUGUGACACCACUGUCACCCUGUGUAUCUUAAGGUAACGCGGGUCGAGGCGGACAUCGUCGCGCUAGCGACAACGCACGCCGAGACGAGCACGUGACACCACUGCCACCCUGUCUUAUGGUAACGCAAGAGUCGAGGUGGACGUCGUCGCGGUAGCGACGACGGAUGCUGAGACGAGGACGUGACGCUAGGGCCCCCCUGUCCCCGUCGCGGUAGCGACGAUGGACGAUGAGACGAGUACGUGACACCACUGCCACCCUAUCUAUCUUAGGGCAACGUGAGUCGACUGCCAUUUGAUAUAGGUCAGAACUUUUCUGAAUACUUAGUGUCACCAUGUGAUCCAGACGAAUAAUUAAGAAAGUGUAUAAUUUUACAACCAUGGAUACGUGAGUCGAGGCGGACGUCAUCGCGAUAGUGACGGCGGACACCGAGAUGAGCACGUGACACCACUGCCACCCAUUCUUAGGGUAACGCGAGUCGAGGCGCACAUCGGCGCAUUAGCGACGACGGGCGCCGACACGAGCACGUGACACCAGGGCCACCCUGUCUAUCUUACGGUAACGCGAGUCAAGGCAGAUGUCGUUGUGGUAGCGACGAUGGACGCCGAGACGAGCACGUGACACCACUGUCACCCUGUCUAUCUUAGGGCAACACGAAUCGACACGGACGUCGUCGCGGUAGCGACGACGGACAUCGAGACGAGCAUGUGACACCCUGGCCACCCUGUCUAUUCAAAGUGCGUUAUAUCGACUAGAGGGGGGUGAAUAGGCGAUUUUUAUGAAUUCUUCACUGAGGAAUUUGCGGGUGAGGAAAUUCCUUAGCGAAGAACUACUUGCAGUGGAAUAAGUACUCAAGAGUAAGCAUAGCAGAGCAUAGGCAUGGUCAUCAUGAUGAAAUGAAGACAAACACAGAGUACAGAAAGCGUAAACACAGGAUAGCACAGGAUGAAGACAAAAGGACUGAAGAAAUUGAACUGAGGAAAUUGAGAAUGUCUUCUGUCAAAGUCUUCAAACAUAGAUAUGACAAGCACACAACACAGUAAUGAGGAAAUGAAAGAGUUGAGGAAAUAAAACCAGUAAGCUUGGUGAAGACAAUGAUUUGGUAGACCAGUUCCAACUGCUGUCUCAGUUGUACAUCUGGUUGGAGCGGCUAGGUAUUUAAACCUGAGGACACACAGUCCCGGACACACAGUCAUCACCGUAUUCUCCUUGAACUAAGGUCACACAUACCUCGUUCAAUCACUCGUGGUAAUUCUUCAGGUGACUUCCGAACCUUCACAAACUCGGUCACACGGCGAUCCACAAUUCCUCUUGGAUGCUCUAGACCAUGACGCCUAACCGUCUGGAAGAAGCACAGUCUUCAAAGGUAACAAGCGUCGGAUCCACUCAGGAUCAAUCUCUUCAGUGAUGCUCAAUCACUUUGGGUUUGUAGGUGUUUGGGUUUGGGUUUUCCUCACUUGAUGAUUUUCGCUCAAAGUCCUCGGAGGAUGGGAUGCUCUCAAAUGACAAAUGUCAGUUUCUCUCGGAGCAGCCAACCAGCUAGUGGUUGUACGGGGCGACUAUUUAUAGCCUAGGGAGCAGCCCGACAUGAUAAGACAUAAAUGCCCUUCAAUGAUAUGACCGUUAGGUGGGUAGAUAUUUUGGGACAGCUGGUGCAUAGCACAACAACGGUCGGAAAUUUGAGUAUCAAAUUCCUCAGGGCUGUCAUGUUCCUCACUGUGUAGGCAAUCCGCACUGGCGAAUUCCUAACUCCCCAGUCAGAACAAAUUCCUCAGAGACCAGAAGAACUUCGUCUCUGUCACUGAAGAAUAUGACUGAACUGUAUGAGAUUUCCAAUGGCUUCACUCGAAGGGAUUGGUAGGUGUAGGAUUUUGAGUUGAGCAUCACAUGGAAAUUUUUCCUUAGUAUUUCCUCGACCCCCUUUAACAGUACGGUGUUUCCUAUGACUCAAGAAAGAGAAAAUGAAACUACGAAUACAAAAGUCUUCACGCUUCAUAUUCCUCAAAUGAAUACCAAGUCUUCAAGGUCACACCAAUUUCUUCACUUUCAAAGUCUUCAGAAAGUCUUCAGAAAUUCAAAGUCUUCAGUCGAAGAACUUCAUUUUUAGGGGUUGACUUUCUCUGUAAAUAUCAAACUCCUCAUAGACUUAACCUGUGUACACUCAUAAACACAUUAGUCCCUUAACCUAUAAGUCUUCAAUACAUUAAAAUCACUAAGGGGCACUAGAUGCACUUACAAUCUCCCCCUUUUUGGUGAUUGAUGACAAUAUAGGUUAAAUUUUCAACGGGGAUAAACAUAUGAAGUGUAAAUACUGAUAUUUAGGAAUUUGAUUGCAAGAUAUAGAAGAACUCCCCCUGAAGAUGUGCAUAGUGAGGAAUUUGUUUUUGAAGCAAUGCACACUUGAAGAGUUGAAUCAUGGAGAUCUCCCCCUAUAUCUUGUAAUUCAUACACGCAUUUGACAUAAUAUAUGAAGAAUUUGAAAUGCAUGAUGAAAUAUGGUGACUGAUGUAAUUCAGCAUGCGUGCAAUAACAUUAACGAGGAAUAAGCAUGCAAAAGAAACAACAAAAGUAUCAGGCCACCAUAGAGUUUUAAGUUUACAACUCGAUAUAACAAAGUCAUCAGAAGAACGAGAGUUGUAACUUAGAAAAAAACGCCCAUAAAAGAUAGACCCGCUUGAAGACUAACUCAAAUUUCUCCCCCUUUGUCAUCGAAUGACCAAAAGGUUCGAAAAUGAGGACUAACGCCCCAGAAGAAUAUCAAGUUGAUGAAGGAGCGCCAGCGUUGUUGGGGUCAUUUGUUGAUGUAGGGCCUGCCGCAGUGUCGUCCAAGUCUUCAUGCUUAUCAGUUUCACGCGAUGAAGAAUAGGAGCUGGCCACCAAGGAAGGAACCUUGACCUUCUUGUAUUUCUUCGGUGGAGGUGCAGACCAGUCAAAGUCCUCCUUGAGACCCAUGUUCUUCAUAUCUUCUUCGCUGUAAAUGUGAGACAGAACAGCCCAGGUGCGACCGAAGACUUCAUGGAGGUAGUAAUGGUUUUUCUUCACUGCAUUAUGUGUAGCAGUCAUGUUGUGAAGAAUUGAACCAAACUGACGCUUAACCCAUUUAUGGUUUCGAUCCACCUUCUGGUGAAGACUUAGCAUAAGUUCACGGUCAGUCAUCACACGAGGAGCAGUAGCUUGAGGAUUUGGCUUGGAGGCAUGGGCAGCAGAAUCAUGAGUGGCAGAGUCAUCAUUGGUGGAAUAAGAUGCAGCCUUGGGAAAUUGACCAUCCAAUGGACGAAUGCCUUCAUCUAUAACAGCUGGUGCCUUGCCCUUUUCGUCAGCUGAGGAAUAGGUCCACUUGAGGACUUCAAUCGGGGGCAAGUAGCUGAGGUGAUUCUGAAAAUCAGCUUUGUAGUUGAGUGAAGACCUUGUUCUGAUGAAUCUCAUAAUCCACGGUGCAUAAGGCUUCAACUCAAACGGUGAAAGUGCAACAUUUGCCAGAGUCCUCAUGAAGAAAUCAUGAUAAUUGACAGGAAUGCCAUGAAUGAUGUUGAAAACCAGAUUCUUCAUGAUGCCAACAAUUUCCUCAUCAGAUGAGUCGUGGCCUUUGAUUGGACUCAUAGUCUUCGUCAGAAUGCGAUAGACUGUCCUUGGUACAUACUGCAAUUCCUUCACGAGGAAUUUUGUCCUUGAGGCUUGACCUGGUUUCCAUGGCUUCAUCAGCACUUGCAUAUAGUGAUCAGUAAGCUCAGGUUCUUGGUACAUGCAACAAGCUCCUUCAGGUGGAGAACUGAUGGGCAGGGCGUGAAGUAAUUCAGUGGCCGGUUCCUUAUAGUGAGUAUUUUCAGCCAUCCAGUCCAAAACCUAGGAGUUCACAUCGUCAGGAUCUCCCGUGAUGUGUAAAGUUGCGUAGAAUUGAAGAAUGAGUUCUUCAUUCCAAUCAACUAUGUCUGUGCAAAAGUUGAGGAGGCAUGUGUCAUGAAGCACACUGAGGACAGGAGUGAAGCAUGGCAGUGAUUCCAUGUCCACAUGAGGAAUAUGCUCGUGGUCGAAGACUUUUUCCUUGUUGAAGAGCAGUGAAGAAUAGAAGUUGGCCUAGCUGGCGGUCCAGAAGCGCUUCCUUCUAAGACGAGCAGAAUCAUAGGGAUUGUAGUCAGUGAAGAACACGUGCUCGCCAAAGAAAUCAUCAGCCUUGAAUUUCUGUGUCACAUCCCUAGUUCUGGUAUGACCUAGGCUAGCUAGUCAUGUGUGCAUCAUGUUUAAAUUCCAUUUAAAUUUGAAGUGGGGAUCUGUGAAACCCUCAGAAUCAUUUCUGGAAAUGACCCAGAUAAAAAUUGCUCCAAAAGGGUCCAAGAAAAUGUUCAUGUUGCUCUCUGAAAAUAUUGGACAGAGAUAAAAAUCAAACCAAUAUUUUUAGGAGAUCAUAAAUAUUUAUUUUGGGCAUUUGGAAUUAAUGCAGUAAUUAUUUGCUUUGGAUAUAUAUUGUUAUAUAUAUAUAUAAUAUUGUCCAAAAAUUAUGCCAUUUGUUGAGGAGUUAUGGAAUAAUACCACUAGCCCCUACAAAAAUUGGCAUAAGAAAAUAAAAUGAUUUAGUAUUCUACUAAAUCAGAACAAAUGUCAGAAAAAUAGAAAAGAAAACAAAAAGGGAAAAGCUUACCUGUGCUCACCCAAGGCCUGGCCUGGCCCAGCAGCCCAGCAGGCCGGCCCAGCCGACUGGCCAGUGCCAGUCAUCGUCCUCCUGGCGCCAGGAGGACGAUGGGCACGCGCUCGCUGCCCGCGCGCAUGCGCGCCACCUCCUGCUUCUCCCCCCUCAUCGCCCUGGACGCCUCCCGCAAUGCCACGCACACCCCUGACCCCUCUCACUCUCCCUGGACCCCUUUCCCCUCCUCUGCUCUCUGUUCCGCGCCGCCCGAGCGGAGCUCGUCGCCGCCGACGUCGUUCACCGUAGCCUCCACCUCCUCCUCAACCUCUCUCCACGCCCAGAAGCUCCGCCAUCGUCCCCCUCAUCUUCACGACCGAGCCACGCAAGCCCGGAGGCCCUGCAUCGCCGGCAACAUCACCAUCUUCCUCCUCCGCCGCCCUGGAUCGCCGACGUUGAUUAGUCGCCGUCCGGCCUCCCCCGAGCUCGCUGACGUCUCCAAACUACGUGGGGUGAGCCCCUCUUCGUUUCGCCCCUAUCCCCGUCGCCCCGCACGUCCUCUAGCACUAGCGCCGCCGUGCCCGAAGCUCGCCGCCGCCCUGCCAUGUCAUUGUCGUGGGCACAGCCGCCUCCGCCCGCUUUUGAGCUUACAGCCGUGCUAGUUGAGCUCGCAGGAGUCCGUAGCACUGCCCAGUGGUGGAAAUGGUGCACCGUAGAAUCGACCCGCACAACGCCGUGGCUCUGUCGCCGUUGAACCUCGCCGCCGGCGAGAUUCCGGCCUCCCGUGACCUCCCGUCUGGUCCAUCAUAUGCACGAGAGCAAGAGCUCAUGCCCGGUGCCUCCCGAGCGACAAACCGCAGCCCCUAGCAUGUUUCCGGCAAUCUUCCGCCGCGGUUUGAGGUCGCCGCCAGCCAAACUCCGGCGUGCCGACGUGGCACGGCCAUUAGUGGUUAAACCCCACUAAUUAGCCGCCCUACAGCCGCUGACAGCGGGCCCCACAGCAGGUCAAAGGUGAGUCAACGCGGGGUUAACCCCUGUCUCACUGACCAGUGGGCUCCGCCAGUCAGAUUUGACCCUGGCCAGCCCGUUGACCUGCUGACGCAGCGAUGACGUCAUGCUGAUGCAGUAAAGGAUUUUCUGGAUUUAAAUUAAAUCAGGAAAUUCCAGAAACUAGUAAAACUUCUAAAAUUCAUAGAAAUUCAACCGUAGCUCAGAUUGAAAUAAUUUAUAUAUGAAAAAUUAUCAGAAAAAUGCAAUCUAUCCAUCUGUACUAGUUUCAUGCAUGACAAACCAACUUAUACCUACUGUAUAAGUGAAAACAUAUAAAUGGAUUAUAUAAGGACUUAAAUUAGAGUCGCAUUUGAACCUUUGGUUCAAAUGGAUCUCUUCCAAGUUGAAUGCUAAAUGCAUUGGCUCAAAAUACAUCACAUAUACAUGCCAUAUUCAUGCAUCAUAUUGCUGCAUAUGAUUGUGUUUUUGACUGUCGACACCGUUCCCUCUCGAUAGGUCCUGCUCCGGAGAGUGUUCCAGAGUACCUGUCUGAGGAGCAGUGCCACCCUGUUGAUCUACUAGGCAAGCAAACCCCCUUUGUUCAUUCCGAUACAAUCCUACUCUCUCGCUCCUGCUCUCUUUUACUGCAUUAGGACAACAACGAUUCAACUGCUACUUUAUGCUGCGGUAGUUGAACCCAUUCCUCUGCAUGACCUGUCAUUGCCACAGUAAAUAGUUGAAACCCACUAGCAUGUGUAGGAGUUGAUUGAGCCAUGUUGUGUUCCUACCAUGCCAUGCCUACUAUUGCUUAGAGUUGUGUCAGGUCUGAUUCAUUGGGAAUGAAUUGGAGUGUUACGAUAUGUUCUGGUGCCGAGAGUUAAGCGUGUGAACACGAUUUGGUAAAGGUAGCGGUGAGAGGCCAUGUAGGAGUACAUGGUGGGUUGUCUCAUUGGAACCGUCCUUAAGCACUGAGUUCUGUGUAUGUUGUCCAAUGACUAGCUACUACCACACAUUGGGUUCCGGUAACUCGACCCCUCUCGACUUAUUAACCAACUUGAUCUCUGUCCAGGAGUUGCAACUAGUUUCUGGUGUUUGUAGGUAGUGCUAUUUUUCUACCGAGUGGCACCCGGCAGGGUGGGCUUGGGACAGACUAGGCACACGUGGCCCGGUGUACCCAGUGGCACCCGGAUGGUGGGCUCGGGAACCCUGUACACAUCGUUUGGGGCCGUGAGCGACACCCCGGCCGGAUCUCCUUGCGGAUGGAACCCGAAUAGGUGAUAAACCUGGACUAGAGUCUUGUGUGGUUAGUCAGGUCGUGGCCGACACCCUCGCCAGGCUUCCGCUUGAAGGUUGCCGAGGUACAUGACGUGUACAUGGCGGUAAGUGGCGAGAGCGUGUGUGACGCAGUACACCCCUGCAGGGUUAUCAUGAUCUAUUCGAAUAGCCGUGUCCUCGGUUAUGGACUUCUUGGAUGCUUACGUGGUACAUAGACAACCUGAAGUGGAUACUCUAAAAUGCUCAAGAUAAGUGUGAGUGCUAUGGAUGGCUUCUUGUAGUGAGACGGGAAUGAAUCCAUAGUGGUGUAUUGAGGUGGUGAUUAGUGGACUCGUGUGCGCCUUCUUACCUCAAAGAAGUCUCUCGUAGUCGUAGAACAGGAUAGCCACUGAGUCAAAGCUGGCUUGCUGCAACUAAACCCCACACUACCUUCUUGAUACAAAUGCAUGUAAGAUAGGAUCUGAAGUAAGUCUUGCUGAGUACCUUUGUACUCAUGUUGCUUUGUUAAUGUUUUUGCAGCGGAGACUUCAGUCUUACUAGUUGCUCCGCUUGGACUUCGACGAGUAGCUUGUACCUCAACUACGAUCUUGUACCCUUGGGAGGGUCUUGUAGAUAGUCAGGCUUCUCAGCCUUUUUCUUUUGUAGUUGUCUGUACUCACAAAUGUAAUGCUUCCGUUGCUUGUAUGCUCUGAAUGAUGGGUCAUGUGACCCCUGUUGUACUUAAUGCUAUGUGGCUCUUCUGGGCCUUUUAUCUAUAUGAGUUUGCGUUAUGUUGUGAUGCCAUGUUGUACAGCACAUACUUGCAUGUUAUGCGUACGUGUAACGUGUAUUGCUAUGUGUGGGAUCCGACAAUCUAGUUGUUUAUCCUUGGCAGCCUCUCUUAUGGGGAAAUGUAGUCUAGUGCCUCCUUGAGCCAUAGUAGUCCGCUACAGCCCGGUUCACCGGAGUCCUGCUAGCCCAGCACUACUGCUCUGGACACUUGACUGGCCGGCAUGUGUUUCAUUUCAUUCCUGUGUCUGUCCCUUCGGGGAAAUGUCACGCGGUGACAUCCGGAGUCCUGCCUAGCCUGCUACAGCCCGGGUUCCCGGAGUCCUGUUAGCCCAGUGCUACAGCCCGGAUUCACACGCUGCUGACCGACACGCUCGAUGUUGAUUCAUGUAUGCAUGUACCCAUACGUUAGUGCCGCUUUGGGUUCACGACUAGCCAUGUCGGCCCGGGUUCUCUGUCAUAUGGAUGCUAGCGACAUUGUCAUAUACGUGGGCCAAAAGGCGCAAACGGUCCCGGGCCAUGGUAAGGCGACACCCGUGGGAAUACCGUGCGUGAGUGUCGGGACCCCGAUUCCAAGUCACACCGAUCUAGCCUGUAACACCUCAUAUCACUUNNNNNNNNNNNNNNNNNNNNNNNNNNNNNNNNNNNNNNNNNNNNNNNNNNNNNNNNNNNNNNNNNNNNNNNNNNNNNNNNNNNNNNNNNNNNNNNNNNNNNNNNNNNNNNNNNNNNNNNNNNNNNNNNNNNNNNNNNNNNNNNNNNNNNNNNNNNNNNNNNNNNNNNNNNNNNNNNNNNNNNNNNNNNNNNNNNNNNNNNNNNNNNNNNNNNNNNNNNNNNNNNNNNNNNNNNNNNNNNNNNNNNNNNNNNNNNNNNNNNNNNNNNNNNNNNNNNNNNNNNNNNNNNNNNNNNNNNNNNNNNNNNNNNNNNNNNNNNNNNNNNNNNNNNNNNNNNNNNNNNNNNNNNNNNNNNNNNNNNNNNNNNNNNNNNNNNNNNNNNNNNNNNNNNNNNNNNNNNNNNNNNNNNNNNNNNNNNNNNNNNNNNNNNNNNNNNNNNNNNNNNNNNNNNNNNNNNNNNNNNNNNNNGCCUUACCAUGGCCCGGGACCGUUUGCGCCUUUUGGCUCACGUAUAUGACAGUGUCGCUAGCAUCCAUAUGACAGAGAACCCGGGCCGACAUGGCUAGUCGUGAACCCAAAGCGGCACUAACGUAUGGGGACAGGCAUACAUGAAUCAACAUCGAACGUGUCGGUCAGCAGCGUGCGAAUCCGGGCUGUAGCACUGGGCUAACAGGACUCCGGGAACCCGGGCUGUAGCAGGCUAGGCAGGACUCCGGAUGUCACCGCGUGACAUUUCCCUGAAGGGACAGACACAGGAACGAAGUGAAUCACAUGCCGGCCAGUCAAGUGUUCCGGAGCAGUAGUGCUGGGCUAGCAGGACUCCGGUGAACCGGGCUGUAGCGGACUAGUAUGGCUCAUGGAAGCACAAGACUACAUUUCCCCAUAAGAGAGGCUACCAAGGAUAAACAAGUAGGUUGUCGGAUCCCACACAUACCAAGCAUUUCAAUCAUACACACAAUAUGCUCGAUAUGUGCAAAUACAACAUGGCAUCACAACAUAACUCUACGACUCAAGUAUUUAUUCAUUAGGCUCCGAGGAGCGAGAUAUUACAAACAUGGGUCUCAUGACCCAACAUUCAGAGCAUAAAAGGCAAACACAUGCGGAAGCUUAACAUGUCUGAGUACAGACAUUUACAAAUGGAAAAGGCUGAGAAGCUUGACUAUUUACUAGAUCCUGCCGAGGGCACAAGAUCGUAGCUGAGGUAUCAAGCUAAACGUCGAAGUCCACAUGAGACUAAUAGCGAGACUGACGUCUCUCUGCAAAACAUAAAAUAAGCAAACGUGAGUACAAAUGUACCCAGCAAGACUUACAUCAGAACUAUCUACAUAUGCAUCGGUAUCAACAAAAGGGGUGGUGGAGUUUAACUGCAGCAAGCCAGCUUUGACUCGGUGGCUAUCCUAAACUACGACUGCAAGUAACUCUUUUGAGGUGGCGCACACGAGUCCACAUAUUCACCAUAUCAAUACACCACUAUGGAUCCGCUCCCGUCUCCCUACGAGAACGCCAUCCAUAGCACUCACGCUUAUCUUGCGCAUUUUAGAGUAUCCACUUUCACUUGUCUAUGAACUGUACAGGCAACCCAGAAGUCCAUUUCCGCGGACAGGGCUAUUCGAAUAGAUGAUGUUAACCCUGCAGGGGUGUACUUCGACACACACACUCUCACCACUUACCGCCGUUUACACGACAUGUACUCGGCAACCUUCAAGCGGAGGCCCAGCGAGGGUGUCGGCCAUAGCCUACCUAAACACUCAAGUCUCUAGUCCAGGUUUAUCGCCUAUUCAGGUUCCAUCCGCAGGGAGUCCGGCCGAGGUUUCCACAUACGGCCCCGAACGAUGUGUGCGGGGUUCCGAGACACCAAACGGGCGCCCGGCAUACCCGGCCACGUGCCUACCGCAUCACAGCCCACCCCUCCGGUCAGCGCUGCCCACGGCCUCCAGCAUACUACAAACACCAGAAACUACUUGCAACUCCUGGACAGAGGACAAGGGUGAUUAAGAAGCCGAGAGGGUCCAUUGGUAGUAACUGUAUCAUGGAUCACAAACACAGAACUCAGUUCCUGAGGACGGCUGCAAUGAGACAACCCACCAUGUACUCCUACAUGGCCUCUCACCGCUACCUUUACCAAAUCGUGUUCACACUCUUAGCUUACACACAGUAGGACAUGUUCAUCACCAUUCCAAUUCAUCCCCGACGAAUCAGACCUGACACAACUCUAAGCAAUAGCAGGCAUGACAAACAAGCAUGAAUGAGUAGGCACACCAGGGCUCAAACAACUCCUACUCAUGCUAGUGGGUUUCAUCUAUUUACUGUGGCAAUGACAGGUCAUGCAGAGGAUAAGGGGUUCAACUACCGCAACAAGUAACGGUUGAAUCGUUGUUGUCCUAAUGUAGUAAAAGAGAGCAGGAGCGAGAGAGUGGGAUUGUAUCGGAAUGAACAAGGGGGUUAUGCUUGCCUGACACUUCCGAAGAUAGUAUAGCUCUUCAUCGGUGUCAUCGAUCUCAUCGUCGGAAUCACGGCUAUUGAGAGGGGACAAUCACCGGCAAACAAGGAAGAACACAAUCAAUGCAAUGCACAAUAUGAUGCAUGAUCAUGACAUGGCAAUAUGACGUGAUUUGGCCUAAUGCAAUUAGCAACAGAAAGGUUUGGGUUGAUUUGAACUCAAGGUUCAAAUUCAAAUUCAAACUAUGAAUUCAAAUAGUGCAUUAUCAUGUUUUCACCUAUACAGCAGGUAUAACUUAGUUUGACAUGCAUGGAAAUGAUACAGAUGGAUAGAUUGCAUUUUUCUGAUCAUUUUUCAUAUAUUAAUUAUUUCAUUCUGAGCUACGGUUGAUUUUAUAUGAUUUUGAGAAGUUUAUACUAUUUUCUAGAAUUUCCUGAUUAAAAAUAAAUCCAGAAAAUGUAAUACUGCAUCAGCCUGACGUCAUCACUGCGUCAGCGAGUCAACGGGCUGGCCAGGGUCAAACCUGACCCGUGGGACCUGCCUGUCAGUCUCUCAGUGCCUAAUUAAGUUUAGGUUUUAAACUAAACUAACUUUUAACAGGGGCUGGCCCCACACGUCAGUGGGUCAGGGGGGAAGUCAAACCCCGGUCAAGCAGGGUCAAACCCGCCGGACUUGGUCCACGGCUCGUCGCCUGUGAAACCCGGGACGGCGGAGGGGCUCGGGAUUUGCCCACGGUCGACCAAAUCGACCGCGGUUUGGUCCUACGCGUAGCUGGGGCUCGCGCGCAUCUAGUAGGCCAAGCGGGAGGAGCUGGGGUGGUCUAAGUCGACGGCGGCGAGCACGAAUGCGGCGGCCGGAGUUCGGGCGUCGGUGGUUUUGCUGCUGUAGCGUGCUAGUGGGUGAAUGGAUGCACUAGCGAGACGCUACGAGGUGCGGUGAGUGUGUUAGGCACCGCGCGGGACCAAAUGGUCACCGGAGUGAUGCUGGCGUCGAGCUCGCGCGGCGGCGUGCUACGGUGAGCAAGGGGGCGGCGUCUACAAUGAGCAAACGGAGCAGAGAGGAGGGGGGUUCGACGCAGGGGCUCACAGUGAGUGCAGAGGUGGCCUCGGCGUGCUCGGGGAAGCACCGGAGCGAGCGGGGCGGCGAGAGGGAUCUCCGGCGUUGGGAGGUUGAAGACGACGACGUGGAGGCACUCGGGGGCGUCCGGCGUUGCACAGCUCGACGAGGAGGAAGAGGGAUACUAGGCGGAGCUCUUGGGCAUCUCAGGGCGUCGCCGGGAUGGCGGUGUCCGCGGUGGUGGCGAGCGGCGGCGACGGAGGCGUUCGGGCGGGAAGAACAGAGGAGGGGGAGAGCGUUCGGGGGAGAGGUCGAGGCGUCGAGGGGGUGUCGUGGCGCCGUCUAGGUGCAAUGGGGAGGAGCCAGGCAGGCUGGGAGGGAGGAGGUGGCCGCGGCGUGUAGCUGCGCGCGUCGGGCACGCGCCCUCGCCUACUGGCGCGAGGAAGGCGACAGGAGAGCGCCUGGUGGGCUGGGCCGCCAGCUGGGCCGGCCAGGUGGCUGUGGUGGGUGCCACGUAGGUAUCUCCUCUCUCUGCUUUCUGUUUUUCUAAUUUGUUUCUGUUUUCUAAUUAUUUGCCUCUGUUUUGGGCUUAGGAAAAAUACCAAGGCAUUUCCUAAAAUCCUGAAAAUAUUCAUGGACACUUGCUGAAUUAUUUCAGUGGCCCAAAAAUAGUUCCAACAUUAUUUGAACAUUUAAAUUAUUUAUAGCAUUUAAAUGCCCAAAAUUCAAAUACAAUAAGAUUUAAUUCAAAAAUCCAGGAUGGCCUAGAAAUAGGUGCAUCAUUUUUGGCAGAGGUUUUCACCUUUAACAAAAAUCAUGAACUUUUCUAAAGGGCAUUUGGGUUCAUUGAAAAUAUUGUUUACUUGAACCUAGUUGAAUGCAUUUGGUGCUAGGGUUUCAACAUCCCCAUUUCAAGUUUCUUUGAAAAUUAAACAUGAUGACAUGAGGAACAAGCAAAAGUCAAACAAGGGCUGAUCUGGGGCUGUGACAGUGAGGCCGCAAAGUGAUAUGAGGUGUUACAUGCUAGAUCGGUGUGACUUAGAAUCGGGGUCCCGACAUUCUGCUUCUUUGAGAAUGGAUCCUUUGGCUUGGGCUGAGGAGUGUCAGUCAAUUGCAUUAUCACCUCAGGAAUCGCAAUCUCAGGUUCUUCAGGCUGAGGAAUUUCAGCUUCUACUCCAGUGACAGCCUGGGUCUUCAAUUCUUCAUGUACAUUUUCUUCAGCACUAGUGGCUGGAAUUUCUUCAUGGAUAGAUGGGGUUGCACGAGGUUCUUCAGAUCCCAUUUGUACUUCAGUAGCAACAGGGGACUGAGGAAUUUGCUGUAAAGGUGUGAAGAGUGGAGAGUUGGGGUGCUGACUUUCCCAAAAGUCAUCAUUCAUCACUGGUGUGGUACAGCCAAUGUCCACGUCUUCAUCUUCUAUUUCUUCAAUGCCGGCCUCUUCAGCAGUAAACUGAGGCAUAGGCGAGGAAACAACUGGAGUUGAAGGGAUUUCAUCCACUUCAAUUUCUUCGUCCAUCUGCUCUGACGAAGCAGCAGAAGGAUUUUCUUCAUCAGAUCCGCUAGGGAUCAAAUAUUCUUCAUCAAAAGGAACAAGGUCCUUUGAUGGCAUGGUUGAGAUCGGAACAGCAUCAAUGGGGUUUGCAACUGAGCUGGUCAAUUUCUUCAUCUUCUUCGGAGCUGAAGAAUCUGAUGAAGCUGAUGCUUUCCUUUUCUUCACUGCUGCACGCUCUGCAGCCUUGGUCUUCUUCACAUCUGAUGCAGAUGGAAGAAUUGGAGUUGGGGUAGGCGCAGGAGGAGCAGAGGAAUGUGGUUGGUUUUCUUCAGGCACAACUGAUGCAGUUGCCCUGACCUCUUCAUUUUCUUCAGGCGCACCACUAGUGGAUGCCCUGGCAAUUUCAUCAGCGGCAGGAAUGCAGUCAUCAGCCCUAGACCUCACAUUUUCUUCAGCAUCCUGAAUGUCAUCAGCGGUGCUGGCAUGUUCUUCAGUUGGCUGAGCAGAUGCUUCAGUCUGAGGAAUUUCUUGUUGCGAUGGGGCUGCAACAUUGGAGGUGAACUUCUCAGUCAGUUUAACAAACCUGACCUUGGCUCCUUGCCAAUCAGCAAAGUAAGCAUUGAAAUCAUCGCUGAGGACUUUGAUUUCAGACUGGAUCUUCACAAGAUCAUCAGUUGUCAUAGAGACAACGUUGUUCUUCAGGAAUUUCUCCUUCCCGUACUGCGCUUUCUUGAUCUGCCUGGCCUUCUCAAAUUUCCAUUUCUCUUCUUGGAUGAAGGCAGUCAGCAUAUGAUUUUGGCCAGGAGUCAGCUUGAAGUCAGGCAUAGGAGUGUUUGGGUCCUUGUGCCAGAGAUCAAUGUAAUUGAGGACCAACUUUGGAUCCAAAAGCAGAGGCACAUUUGUGCCCUUGGCUCUAGCGGCCCUGACUUGCCUAUCUCUGAUGAUUUCAGCAAGUUCUUCAUCAUCAGCUUCGUCUUCUUCAGACGGCACUUGGAAGGCGACCUGCUUCUUGUGAGGACUUGGGCGAGAACCUCGUCCAGCAGUGGUCUUUGUCUUCAGCAGAGAGGGUCCUGUUGAAGAAUUUGGAGCAGCCGAGGAACUAGCUGAAGCUCCUGAGGCAAUAAAGAUCCCUGUAGUCCUUUGGCACGUGGCAAGAUGCACAGGUGCUGAGAAUUUGGUCGGAGCAGCUGAGGACUUAUGCGGAGGAGCUGAGGAUUUUGGAGGAGCAGGAGCAGCGUGAGGAAUUGGCCGUGAGGGCUUUGAGGAUUCUGGCCGUGAGGGCAUUGAAGGUGAAGCAAUUGGCUUACGCGCAGGCUUCUUUGCCAUGGAUUUCUUCGGUUUGACAGAGGCCUCAGCGGCAGCAGCAGCAGGAGAGUCUUCAUUGAAUUUCCUCACUGCUUCUCUGGCUUGUCUAGCCAGCUUGGCCUGGCGCUUGGCCCAUUCAUCAGGAUAAUCCUCACCACGCUUGAGGCUGGUGGGAUCAACUUCUUGGCCAGGUGCCAACGGAGGUCUUGGGCAUGGAGGAUUGAGUGCGAAUUUCUUCAUGUACUUGGGAGUCACAUACAUGUACUCCCUCCACUCUCUUGCCCAUCUCCUCUCUAUCUUCUGAAUGCGCACCUUGCGCUGAUUUUUAUCUUCCUCAGGGGGUGUGCAGUACCCAGCAUAGAUGUCCUCAGGGAUUUCAAAUGCAGUGUUGACCUCAGGCCUCUUUCCUCCUUUCUGUGGCUUCUUUCCAUCAACCAUUUUCUUCAGAUGAGGAAUUUGAACAAUUGAAUUCUCUGAAGAAGUAUGCAACUUUUCUUCGAGGAACGCUACAAAUGAGUUAAGUUGAUGAGAACCUAGAGAUUCAACAGCGGACAUGAGUACCUGUGAACAGAGUAUAGUUGCGAGGAAUUUGGAGAGGUCAUAUGCGUUCUCAAAAGGUUUUUCAAAAAGAACAAGUUUUAGGAAUUUGACCAGAUGAGUCUUGAAGAAUUUCACUAAGCGUUCUUUGUCUUAGGUUCCAGAGUUGCAUAGAUCGAAGAUCCACACAAUUGAGGAAUCUUGAAGAAAAAUUAUUGCUUAGAGAAAUGAAUCAAGAACAGAUGACAUGUGAGGUGUUUAGUGUGUGAAGAAUUUGAAGAAUAAACACCUUUGAAGAUUUUGUAGAAAUCAUUUGAAUCAAAGAGGGCAGUAAAAGUAACUUUUAAUUACCCUGGACAAAGAACACGACGAACUGUGAGGUAGAGAUGAGAAGUUCGUCUGUGCAGAUCUUCCACGCCCUAACUCGGCGGAGGAAGACGGCUACGGGCGGCGGCGGAGUGAAGAUUUCCGCGGUCGGCGCGAGUACGGCGGCGACGAGGUCGAGGCAGUGAAGCUCUUCCUCACCGGCGACGAUGAAGUAGCGGCGGUGCUAGGGUUUGAGAAGCUCGAGCUGGAGAGAGGUCGAGCGGAGUAAAGGAAGGGAGGAAGGGGAGAUGGGGUAUUUAUAGCCACGGUGAAAAACUGUUCGCCCGAAGAUUUUGGACGAACGUGCCCCUGACCCUUCUCAUUCGCUUGACAUGUGUCACCCACGUACUGAGAAGUGGAGAUCGUGUUAGAUCGUGGGUGAAUAGAUAAGUAUUUCAUGGGAUGCGGAACGGUUUGAGCGGCAAAGCCGAAAAUUUGGAUAAGAUAAGUUAAAAGUUCCGUUCGCAAAUUCUUCAGCUGACAAGGACACAGUGAAGAUUUUGAACGAGUUUCAAAUAGAACGCACAUGAAGAAUUUGUGAAUAGAUUGGGUUGAGUAUAGCAUAGAGGGCGAAGGGUCCGAUCACAUUCACUUAGCAGGAAAACCAACUUGAAGAGUUAGCCAUAAGUGAAUGUUGCAGAGUAUAUAUAUAUAUAUAUAGCCAAUGAAGAAAAACGACGGAAACAGUGAAGACAAUGCAAAGUUGAAGAAAAUGAACAACUGAGGAAAGACUUGAAUUGAAGAUUUUCAACUUUUGGUGGUGGCGUGACCCACCGUAUAAGAAUGAUGAUUUUAGACACCGCGUACAAUUGUCGUAGGGUUCUGAGAAUCAAAUUCUUCGUUAAUUUCUUCACACUUAGAGUGUUAUUCUUCAUUGAUUGAAGAAAAACGUUUCUUCAUGUGUUGCGCAUCUAAGUCAUCAAUUUUGCAUAAGUGUUAGGAUGAGUGUCCUUUUCAAAGAACAUUCGAAGAUUCUAAGAUAUUUAGCUCACACUGCAACUUGCUAAAUCUCUUCUCAUCCAAGGGCUUUGUGAAGAUAUCGGCUAGCUGUUCUUCAGUCUUCACAUGCUCAAUAGAAAUGUCACCCUUCAACACAUGAUCAAGAAGAAAAUGAUGACGAAUCUGAAUGUGCUUUGUCUUCGAGUGCUGAACUGGGUUGUGAGAAAUCUUGAUGGCACUCUCAUUGUCACAGUAGAGAGGCACAUUCUUCAUGUUGACGCCGUAGUCCUUGAGAGUUUGCUUCAUCCACAGCAAUUGAGCACAGCAAGAACCAGCAGCAAUGUACUCAGCUUCAGCAGUAGACAGUGAUACGCAGUUUUGUUUCUUUGAGGACCAACAGACCAAAGAUCGUCCGAGGAAAUGACAUGUACUAGAUGUUGUCUUGCGGUCCACACGAUCACCAGCAUAGUCAGAGCCAGAAUAUCCAAUGAGAUCAAAAGCCGAGCCCUUGGGGUACCAUAAUCCAUGUGUUGGUUUGUGAGCUAGAUAUUGAAGAAUAUGCUUCACAGCCUUAUGGUGUGAUUCCUUCGGUGUAGCUUGAAAUCGGGCACACAUGCAAACACUAAGCAUAAUAUCUGGCCUAGAUGCACAUAAAUACAAUAAAGAACCAAUCAUGGAGCGGUAUACCUUUUGAUCGAAGUCAAUACCAUUUUCAUCAGUGCACAGAUGGCCAUUUGUGGGCAUCAGAAUUUUGACGCCUUUGCAAUCUUGCAUGCCGAAUUUCCUCAGUACAUCCUUGAGGUAUUUCUCCUCAGAUAUGAAUAUGCCAUUGCGCUGUUGACGAAUUUGAAGACCUAAGAAGAAUUUUGAUUCUCCCAUCAUAGACAUUUGAUAUUCUUCACUCAUCAUAUAGGAAAAUUCAUCACUAUAAUGUUGGUCAGUACAGCCAAAGAUAAUAUCAUCAACAUAUAUUUGGCACACAUACAAUUCACCAUCAUAAGAUUUAGUGAAAAGAGUAGGGUCGAGUGAACCGGGUUUGAAGCCUUUCUUCAUGAGGAAUUCCUUCAAAGUAUCAUACCAUGCCCGAGGGGCCUGCUUGAGGCCAUAGAGGGCCUUAUUGAGUCUGAAGACUUUGUCAGGAUGCUUUGGAUCUUCAAAACCUGGGGGUUGAGCAACAUAUACUUCUUCCUCAAGCUUACCAUUAAGGAAUGCACUUUUCACAUCCAUUUGAUAUAAAGUGAUAUCAUGAUGGUUAGCAUAAGCAAGUAAUAUGCAAAUAGCUUCAAGUCUAGCAACAGGUGCAAAAGUUUCAUCGAAAUCAAUUCCUUCAACCUGUGUGUAGCCUUGAGCUACAAGCCGUGCCUUAUUCCUCACCACAAGGACAUUUUCAUCUUGCUUGUUGCGGUAGAUCCACUUUGUGCCAAUGAUAUUGUGCUUGCGAGGAUCUGGACGUUUAACCAGUUCCCAGACGUUGUUGAGCUCGAAUUGAUGUAAUUCUUCUUGCAUGGCCUGAAUCCACUCAGGCUCCAGAAAUGCUUCAUCUACCUUAGUGGGCUCUGUGAUAGAGACAAAAGCAUAGUGCCCACAAAAGUUAGAUAAAUGUGAAGCUUUUGAGCGUGUGAGAGGACCUGGUGUGUCAUCGAUGAUCUUUUCAACUUGCACUUCUUUUGCAACACGAGGAUGAGCUGGUUGUCGUCGAGGAAUUUGAUAAGCAUUUUCUUCAGCACCAUUUUCUUCAGCAUUUUCUUCAGGUGCAUUAGCUCGACGUUCUUCACGUUCUGGAAUGAAUUCUUCAGCAGAUUCUUCGGUAGGAAUGACCUCUGUAGCCUUGAACUUGAUAGUUUCCUCAGGUGCUGGUUCAUCUAUCACAGAGGGUAGGUGCUCUCUUUGCGAGCCAUUAGUUUCAUCGAACCGCACAUCUACAGUUUCAACAACCUUGUGAAGAACGUUGUUGAAGACUCUGUAGGUGUGCGAGUCCUUUCCGUAACCAAGCAUAAAACCUUCAUGUGCUUUUGGUGCAAAUUUAGCAUUGUGAUGAGGAUCUCUAAUCCAACAUUUAGCACUGAAGACUUUGAAAUAACUCACAUUGGGUUUCUUGUCAGUGAGGAGUUCAUAGGCAGUCUUCUUGAAGAAUUUGUGAAGAUAUACCCUGUUGAUGAUGUGGCACGCAGUAUAAAUUGCCUCAAUCCAGAAGUGACGAGGCGUCUUGGACUCAUCAAGCAUAGUGCGAGCCAUCUCAAUAAGAGUUCUGUUCUUGCGCUCCACGACGCCAUUCUGCUGAGGAGUGUAAGGAGCAGAUAACUCAUGAGUAAUACCAAGUUCAUCAAGAUAGUCAUCAAGACCAGAAUUCUUGAACUCAGUUCCAUUGUCACUUCUGAUGUGCUUGAUUUUCACACCGAAGUUGGUUGAAGCCCUCGAGGAAAAUCGUUUGAAGACUUCCUGCACUUCAUGUUUGUAAGUGACAAUAUGUACCCAAGUGUAACGAGAGUGAUCAUCAACAAUAACAAAGCCAUAGAGAGAUGCAUCAUUUGUGACUGCUGAGUAAUGGUUAGGACCGAAGAGAUCCAUAUGAAGCAAUUCAAAUGGUCGAGUAGUGGUGAUGAUAGUCUUUGCUGGAUGCUUAGCCUUGGUCAUCUUUCCAGCUUCACAGGCUCCGCAUAAGUGAUCCUUGAGGAAUUUGACAUUCUCAAUGCCAAUGGCAUGCUUCUUCUUUGCAAGCGUGUGCAAAUUCCUCAUGUCUGCAUGACCAAGUCGUCGAUGCCAUAGCCAGCCUUCUGAAGCUUUUGCAAGUAGGCACACGGCUGGUUGCGGUCCUAUAGAUAAAUCAACAAUAUACAAGUCUCCUCUCCUAAAGCCUUCGAAGACUUUGGAAUUGUCAGCUUCCAUAACCACAACACAACGAUACUUGUCAAAGACAACAACCAUAUCAAGAUCACAAAGCAUUGAGACAUACAUGAGGUUGUAUCCUAAGGACUCGACAAGCAUGACUUUGUCCAUGUGUCGAUCCUUUGUGAUCGCAACCUUACCUAGACCCAAUACCUGACUUUUGCCUUUGUCAGCGAAGAUGAUAUGCUUCAGAUGCGAUGGUGAUAAGGGAGCAUCCAUCAAUAGAUUCUUGUCACCAGUCAUGUGAUUUGUACAUCCACUAUCGAGGACCCACUCAGUGGCUUUGGGUUGAUCAUCCUGUAGAUGAAUUAGUGCAGCUUACGAACUUCAUAUACUUCAUCAGUGAAGAAUAUGACAUCACAAUUCAUCAGGCCAAUUUCAUCAAGCAAUGCAACAGUUAAAACAGUAUGAGGACGUGAGAAAUGAAAGUUCAUUUCUUCAUGAUUAGCCUGCGUCCUUUCAGGCACUUUUCACGUCUCCAACAAAUUCUUCAGACGUUUGAGCACGUCUGGAGACCUGACCCUGCAUAAGAGAUUAGUCCUUUUUCUUCACCACCCACAUCUGAAGGGGUGGCAAAGAGUUCAUCACUCUGCGAGCUCCAUACGAGAAAGGUGGCAUAGAAGCCAAUCCAUUUCGUUUCACAUAAGAGGAGUUAGGGUAAGCAUAUGAAUAAGCAGAGAAAUUCUUCGAGGACUUAUGAACAUAAUGAUUAGAAGAAUAAUGCUCAUAUUCAUAGCCCUUAGCUCUUCCCUGCGAAACAGAGUUGUUAGCACGAUGAUGUUCAUAUGAGGACUUUGAUCCUUUUGAGGAAUAUGAUCCACGUGAGGAAUUCGAUCCGUAUGAGGACUUGGAUCCAAAUGAAGAAUUUGGUCCACAUGAAGAAUUUGAUCUGGGGUUCCUAUUCUUCACAGGUGGUGUCAUGAGGACAUUCACCUGAAGACUUUCAAGGCACCUUUUGGGAACCCAGAUUUUCUUCAUAGGAGAACCGUUCCUACAGUUAGUGCCAACAUAUCUAGCAAAUACUUCACCAUUCUGAUUUUUAAACAGUUUAUAGUUGGAGUCAAAUGACUCAUCAGAAGAAUGAGAAGAUUCACAUGUAAAGCCAGAUAAAUUAGAUGGAUCAACUGGAGGUCCCUUUGCAGCAACCCAUGAGGUUUUGGGGUACUGCUCAGGCUUCCAAUAUGUACCAUCAGCAUUGAGUUUCCUCUCAAAGGCAAUACCCUCUUUCCUAGGGUUCCUGUUGAGGAUCUGCUUUUUAAGCACAUCACAAAGAGUCUGAUGCCCUUUGAGGCUUUUGUACAUGCCUGUCAUGUACAAUUCCUUCAGCCCUGCAUCAUCAGUGAUACUAGCAAUGUCCUCAGAUGAGGAAUUAGUGAUAGCAGAGACAGUUGAAGAAUUUGUAGCAUUAGAAGCAUUUGAACAUUCAGGUGAAGAUUUAGCAGAUUCACGUUCAAUGCAUUUCAAACAUGGAGGAACAAAUUCUUCCUGAGCAGCGCUGAUUUGUUGAGCAAGUAAUGAAUCGCGCUCCUUCUGAAGAUCUUCAUAACUCACUCUUAGCUUCUCAAGAUCUUGCUUUCUUUGAAGAAAUUCAUAAGAAAGCUUCUCAUGAUCAGAUAAGAGAGUGUUAUGAUGACCUUGAAGGUUGUCAAAUCUAGACUGAAAUCUCUGAAGAUUUUCAGUCAAGGUUUUAGUGCGAUCCAUUUCUUCACCCAACAUAUCAUCACUUUUUAUCUAGCAUGUUUUGAAACUUUUCCAAGGCCUUUUGUUGUUUAGUGGCAAUACAAACAAGCUUGGUAUAGCUAGGUCCAAAAUCAUCAUCGGAUUCAUCAUCACUAGACUCGGAUGAGGAACAUUCGGUUACCUUGGCACCUUUUGCCAUGAGGCAUGGUGGAGAAGAUGAUAGUUCAGGUUCGAAAGUCAUCGUUUUGAGUGAUUCCUUGAAAUCCUCAAACCAGGGAUCAUGACAAGUUCGAUGACCUUCAUAGACGUCAGAGAUUCGGUCCCAGAUAAGCUUCACAUUGCAAAGAUGCAUAAUGCGCCUGAAUUCAUCUCUGGAUAGGCAGGAACAGAUGAUAUCCUUCGCCAUGAUGUCAAGUCGAGUGUACUUGCGAAUAUCAUCAGUGUCCGCCAUCUUGCAUAGAUCGGUAAGACCAAUCUCAGUGACGGUCCACAGCUCGCUGUUCAGUGCCAUGAGGCGCUUGCUCAUCAUGGCCUUCCACUUGGGAUAAUCAUGACCGUCAAAGAUGGGGCAUGUCACUUUCUUCAUACCUGCGGUCGACAUAACUAAAACUCCAGGCGGUUAAACCAAAAUCACACAGAACAAGGGAGUACCUUGCUAUGAUACCAAUUGAAAGUGCAUUAUAUCGAGUAGAGGGGGGGUGAAUAGGUGAUUUUUAUGAAUUCUUCACUGAGGAAUUUGCGGGUGAGGAAUUCCUUAGCGAAGAACUACUUGCAGCGGAAUAAGUACUCAAGAGUAAGCAUAGCAGAACAUAGGCAUGGUCAUCAUGAUGAAAUGAAGACAAACACAGAGUACAGAAAGCGUAAACACAGGAUAGCACAGGAUGAAGACAAACAGACUGAAGAAAUUGAACUGAGGAAAUUGAGAAAGUCUUCUGUCAAAGUCUUCAAACACAGAUAUGACAAGCACACAACACAGUAAUGAGGAAAUGAAAGAGUUGAGGAAAUAGAACCAGUAAGCUUGGUGAAGACAAUGAUUUGGUAGACCAGUUCCAACUACUGUCUCAGCUGUACAUCUGGUUGGAGCGGCUAGGUAUUUAAACCUGAGGACACACAGUCCCGGACACACAGUCCUCACUGUAUUCUCCUUGAACUAAGGUCACACAGACCUUGUCCAAUCACUCGUGGUAAGUCUUCAGGUGACUUCCGAACCUUCACAAACUCGGUCACUCGGCGAUCCACAAUUCCUCUUGGAUGCUCUAGACCAUGACGCCUAACCGUCUGGAAGAAGCACAGUCUUCAAAGAUAACAAGCGUCGGAUCCACGCAGGAUCAAUUUCUUCAGUGAUGCUCAAUCACUUUGGGUUUGUAGGUGUUUGGGUUUGGGUUUUCCUCACUUGAUGAUUUUCGCUCAAAGUCCUCGGAGGAUGGGAUGCUCUCAAAUGACAAAUGUCAGUUUCUCUCGGAGCAGCCAACCAGCUAGUGGUUGUACGGGGCGACUAUUUAUAGCCUAGGGAGCAGCCCGACAUGAUAAGACAUAAAUGCCCUUCAAUGAUAUGACCGUUAGGUGGGUAGAUAUUUUGGGACAGCUGGCGCAUAGCACAGCAAUGGUAGGAAAUUUCAGUAUCAAAUUCCUCAGGGCUAUCAUGUUCCUCACUGUGUAGGCAAUCCGCACUGGCGAAUUCCUAACUCCUCAGUCAGAACAAAUUCCUCAGAGACCAGAAGAACUUCGUCUCUGUAACUGAAGAAUAUGACUGAACUGUAUGAGAUUUCCAAUGGCUUCACUCGAAGGGAUUGGUAGGUGUAGGAUUUUGAGUUGAGCAUCAUAUGGAAAUUUUUCCUUAGUAUUUCCUCGACCCCCUUUAACAGUACGGUGUUUCCAAUGACUCAAGAAAGAGAAAAUGAAACUACGAAAACAAAAGUCUGCACGGUUCAUAUUCCUCAAAUGAAUACCAAGUCUUCAAGGUCACACCAAUUUCUUCACUUUCAAAGUCUUCAGAAAGUCUUCAGAAAUCCAUAGUCUCUAGUCGAAGAACUUCAUUUUUAGGGGUCGACUUUCUCUGUAAAUAUCAAACUCCUCAUAGACUUAUAGACCUGUGUACACUCAUAAACACAUUAAUCCCUUAACCUAUAAGUCUUCAAUACACCAAAAUCACUAAGGGGCACUAGAUGCACUUACAUCUAUCUUAGGGUAACGAGAGUCGAGGCGAACGUUGUCGCGAUAGCGACUACGGAAGCCCAGACGAGCACGCGACACCACUGCCACCCUGUCUUAGGGUAAUGCAAGUCGAGGCGGACGUCGUCGCAUUAGCGAUGCCGGGACACCGAGAUGAGCACGUGGCACCAAGGCCACCCUGUCUAUCUUACGGUAACGCGAGUCGAGGCGGACGUCGUCGUGGUAGCGACGACGGACGCCGCGACUAGCAUGUGACACCACUGCCACCCUUUCUAUCUGAGGGAAACGCGAGUCGACGUGGACGUCGUCGCGGUAGUGACAACGGACGCCGAGACGAGCACGUGACACCAUUGCCACCCUGUCUAUCUUAGGGUAACACUAGUCGAGGGGACGUCGCCGCGGUAGCGGCGACGGACGCCGAGACGAGCACGUGAUACCACUACCACCCUGUCUGUCUUAGGGUAAUGCGAGUCAAGGGGGACGUCGUUGCGGUAGCUACGACAGACGCCAAGACGAGCACGUGACACCACUGUCACCCUGUGUAUCUUAGGGUAACGCGGGUCGAGGCGGACAUCGUCGUGGUAGCGACGACGCAUGUCAAGACGAGCACGUGACACCAGUUCCACCCUGUCUUAGGGUAACGCAAGAGUCGAGGUGGAUGUCGUCGCGCUAGCGACGACGGACGCCGAGACGAGGACAUGAUGCCAGGACCACCCUGUCUAUAUUAGGGUAACGCGAGUCGAGGCAGACAUCGUCGCGGCAGUGACGACAGACGACGAGACGAGCACGUGACACCACAGCCAUCCUGUCUAUCUUAAGGUAACGCGAGUCGAGGCGGACGUCGUCGCGGUAGCGACGACGGACGCCGAGACCAGCACGUGACCCCACUACCAACAUGUCUAUAUUAGGGCAACGCGACUCGACACGGACGUCGUCUCGGUAGCGACGACGGACGCCGAGGCAAGCACGUGACACCACUGCCACCCUGCCUAUCUUAGGGUAACGCGAGUCGUGGCGGAUGUCGUCGUGGUAGCGACGACGGACACCGAGACUAGCACGUGACACCACUGCCACCCUGUCUUAGGGUAACGCGAGUCGAUGCGGAUGUCGUCGCGGUAGCAACGAUGGACGCCUAGACGAGCAUGUGACACCACUGCCACCCUCUCUUAGGGUAACGCGAGUAGAGGCGGAGGUCGUCGCGGAAGCAGCGACGGACGCGGAGGCGAGAACGUGACACCACUGCCACCCUGUCUUAGCGGAACGCGAGUCGAGGCGAACGUCGUCGCGAUAGCGACGACAGACGCCAAGACGAGCACGUGACACCACUGCCACCCUGUCUUAGGGUAACACGAGUCGAGGCGGACGUCGUCGCGUUAGCAACGAAGGACGCCGUGACGAGCACGUGACACCAGGGCCACCCUGUCUAUCUUAGGGUAACGGGAGUCGAUGCAGAAGUCGUCGCCGUAGCGAUGACGGACGCUGAGACGAGCACGUGACACCACUACCACCCUAUCUAUCAUCGGGUAACGCGAGUCGAGGCAAACGUCGUCGCGGUAGCGACGACAGACGCCAAGACGAGCACUUGACACCCUGGCCACCCUGUCUAUCUUAGUGUAACGCGAGUCGAGGCGAACGUCAUCGCAGUAGCGAGGACGGACGCCGAGACGAGCACGUGACACUACUGCCACCCUCUCUUAAAAGUCGAGGCGGACGUCGUCUAGCUUGUCACGUCAAAUUGACACAAAAAAUGUUCAUUUAAAAAAAAAUAUCAGAUAUUUCGGAAAAUGUUCUUGUUUUUAAGGAAAUUUCAGGAAUUCAAAAGUUGUUUAGUUCUAUAAAUAUGUUCUUGAUUUGAAUUUUUCUCAUUAAUUUUAAAAUAUGUUCAUAGUAGAUCAAUUUAAUGAACAUUUCGAUUCAACCAAAAAGAUGUAGAUCAAUUUAAUUCAGCAUGUUAAUUUUUGUUUAAUAAAAUUAUGUUCAUGGAAAGUAUUAAUCGAAAGGGAAUAGAGGAAUAGGCGAAUUUAUUUUUUUUCUGUGUAAAAGUAGCUAUUCAUUUUAGUUGAAAGUGCUAGUUCAUUUCAAUUAAAAGUGGGAUUUCCGGCCCAUUAGUGUCCGUGAAAAACUGCUGGCCCAGAAAGGGAAUAGGAAAACACAGGCCCAAAAGGAAAAAACGUGGAAAGGGAAUAGAGGCUAGGUGAGGUAUUGGGCCAAGGCUGGGCCGAACUCACAAAAAGUGGAGCUCUCAAGGCCGGAAUUGAUCACGAAAGGGAAUAGAAUGGGCGCAACCGUUCGCUAACUUUGUCGUUUGUUGUCGCAUCGAUCUGGUGCGAAAUGAGAGCUCCUAUGUGUCGCAUUUUACGGCAAAUUGCCACCAUAUCGCACAGGGGCGCCACCGAGUGGGCCGGCCCAUUAGCAGCACUGCAGCGAGCCAAUAAACGCACUGUAGCUAAAAACUGAGCGGCAUCGACCUCGCGACCUCUGGCUAUUGAAUGACUCUCGCUAGCCACUUGAGCUGAUGGCCCGUUGGUUAUUGUUAUACACCGCGAAAUACUAAAAGCACUACUCGGAGGAGCUGAUCAAACUUGUACUGUAGCGACCGGACUGUGUACUGUUACGACAUGAACAAGGCAAGGUAGAGUUUUUUUUAGAAGCUCCAAAUCUUUCUUUGAAAAACGUGAACAUUUUUUCAAAACACAAAUAAAACUUCAAAUUUCAAACAUUUUUCAAAACAGAUAAAAAAAGUAGAAACCACAAAAGUAUUUUGAAUUUGUGAACAUUUCUCCGAGAAAGGGAACAUUUUUUAAAUUCCGAACAAAUUUUGAAAGCCUGAACAUUAUUUGAAACUCCCCGAACAAUUUUUGAAUUUGUGAACAAAUUUUGAAAACGAGAACAUUUUUUGAAAUUGUGAACAAAAUUUUGAAACCACAAACAUUUUUUGAAAUUGGAAGCAAUUUUAGAAUUUGUGACUUUUUUUCAAAAUGAGAACUUUUUUGAAAUUCUGAAUUAUAUUUCAAAUUUUCAAAAAAGUUUCAAUAGAAAAAUAAACUUAAAAAAGAAAAAGAGAAAAAUGAAAAAGAAAACAAAACAAUAUUCAAAAAUUCAUGAACGUUGUUUUGAAAAUAUUUAGAAAAGAAGCGAACAAUUUUUGAAAUUUCUGAACAAAAUUUGAAAACAGGAACAUUUAAAAAAAAUAAGGAUCAUGUUUUGAAAUUCCCAAACAAUUUUGAAAUGCAAACAUUUUUUGAAUGUAGAAACAAAAUUUGAAAACAGGAACAUUUUCCAAAAUUUGAACUUUGUUUAGGAACCUGAAUAUUUCUAGAAAAAGAAAAAUGAAAUUGAAUAAAAAGGAAACGGAAAAAGAAAAAAAGAAAAAGAAAAACCUGACCACAAAGAAAUAGAAAAACGAAAAGAAAAGAAAAAACCGUAGAAAAGAAAAAAACCCGGUUCAGGAAACCUUCUGGAAGGUUCCCAAAGACGGAUUGGGUAGUGCCAAUACGAUCUACUCAAAUGGGCCGGCCCCGUCGUGUCGAUCGGCCGAUCGCCUGUGCGUUGCCCCGGCAACUUGCCGCAACGAGCGACAAACAGGAAAUUCCGUGCGAAAAAUCGAGUGCGCCUCUUAGGACGCGCGCUAGCGACGCCGCAUUGGAGUUCUCUCUAUACGUAUACUUGCUAGCGUUGAUCAAGCACGGAAAUAAGCGAGCUCACUUCUCUCUAUUAGCUAGCUAACACAAUAUAUGAAACCCCCUCUCCCUUCUUUCAAAACAAAAACAAAACCCCUGCUCCUGCCAGCUGCUGACGCGUGGAUGCCUUUUGGUACCGGUUGGUGUUACCAACCGGGACAAAAGGUGCUCCAGCCUAGGCACCUCGCAGCGGCCACGUGGAGCCCCUUGCGAAUCGGGACUAAAGGUUUUGGGCUUUAGUCCCAACCCUUUAGUCCCGGUUCCAGAACCGGGGUAAGGGGCCUCUGAAACCGGGACAAAUGGGCCGGUUUCUAUGAGUCGAAGCUCCAUCCUCCUUUCUAGUCCUCUGUUCCUUUUGUCAUAUCAGCUUUCAUCCAUCUCCCAUACUGUUGCACCUCACCUCUCCCAAGUCCAAUAGAACACGCCUUGUCCACGUGUCCAAUUAUACCACACGUGUAACAAAAAUCAGGGAGGUACUCAUACUCUAGGGGGCACCAUUUUUGCUCAUCAUCUUUCUUCUUUCUUUUAUCCACGUCCAUCACUUCUGCAGACUCCUUGUCUUCUCCCGUUCAAUAUCCAAAGUGAUUCCUCUCAACAGUGGCUUUGUAAUGUCUAGUCUAACUUUCAGAACUUCCAGCCACAUUAUCAUCAUCCCCCUGGUUACCUCCAUGAACUCGCCAGUCUCGUCACCAAUGAUACCUCCGUUUUCAUCACUCAUGAAACCGAGCGGCAUCUUGGUCACCCUGACCCAAAUAAGGAUGAUAGUGAACUCAUACUCUCCUAGCGUUUUAGCUGGGUCGAAAUCUACCAUCACAAUCAGGUCCUUUCCCACCAUCCAUGGCCCUUCCUCCAAUGCUUUCCUCUUCCCCGCUGCUUGCAAGAAGGUGAAAAGAAAGGUGUUGUCCUCUAACCCCUUGCACUUGAUUCCCUUGAUCGGACACCACACUCUUCCGAGGUAUUUGAUCAUACCUUCCACAUAUACUGGUUUCUCGGACAUAACCUUACCGAUCGCCUGUGGAUCUUCCGUUCCCGUUCUCCUCAACCCGCCUCUUCCGAUCUUGACUCCCUUCUUCUCUGCUUCUGGCAACCGCAACUUCUGCAUCAAACCUUCCACUUUCUCCAUUGUGUCGAGGACUUGCAUCGAUCUAUGGUUUACUAGGUGGUUGUAUUAUGAAUGAAUGCCCUAGCAACACUCGUAAGGCUUUUGGUGGAUGGGUGAGCGGUCUCGAGAUCAAUCCAGCAAGGAUCGCCAAGGCUAGGGGGAGAGUUUGCUGGCGUAGGCCAGAGACGGGGUCGCCUGAGGGGACUCUAGGGUUUACCAGGAGUCACCGCAGAAUCCCCUGGGAAUCGCCCAAGCGCCAAUCGUGGAACCGUCACCCAAGGACGGACGGGUUAAGGAUGAUAAUUAAAGCGGACUUUGAUAGAGAGACACGUGAGAAAUAGAGUGAUAGAGAGAGAUACGUGAAAAUUAAAGCGGUUUUAAUUUCUUUCUUUUCUGUAAUUAAAGAGAUACGCAUGAGAAAUAGAGAGAUAAGAGAGAUACGUGAGAAUUAAAGCUGUUUUAAUUUUUUCCGUUUCUAUAAUUAAAGAUCUGAUCUACACAGUUAUAAUCUUGACCCGCAAAAUCAACGGCCUCCAUUUUCUAUUUUUCUCUAAUUAAUGUGGGAAUUUCUUGGGAGUGCCUAUUAGUAUAGGUAUAUAUAUGUGCAAAAAAUCUCGACAUUAAUGAACAUAUAUCUGGUGCACUUGCAAUCUUUUGUAGUACAUUAAUGAAUAUUUAAAGUAUUUUCCAACUCUUGCUAUUUAUAGACUUGUCAUCCGUGUCUGCCACAUUUGGAGUCCAACUAUUUCCUACUGGAACCUUACACUCCACUAGAACUGAGUUUGUCAAGUAACAGAUAACCAAUAUGAGAGGGAGCAGCCUAGUGCAGGGGACGAUGAUAUUCUUCAUUGGAUGCCUUGUGCUUUGUGCACAGUGUAAGUAUAUAUCAUCAUCGUCUUUAGAAUCUUGUGUUAACUUCUUGCCACUAAUUCUUCGGAUCAGACAUACAUACACACACACAUCUGCGGUACUGCAUACUAAGGUUAAAUAUACUAUACAGGUGCUCUCGAUAAUAAGCAAAGGAUGGUCAACCAAGAUGAUCAUGCGGCGAACACAAGUACCAACGCUACCAUCAUCAACUCAACAUCUGUAGGCGAGAGCAAGAAAACCGAGAAAUUUUGCAGCCUCUUUCUCGUAUGUUAUUUCAACAUUGAGAUUCGUGCUGAGUGCUACUGUUGCGAGAAUAAGAAUGCCGACUGUUACAAGACGAAGAGUGAGUGCCUGCAGAAGUGCCAUUCCUACAACGGUUAAUGCCCACCUUCAUCGCGGUCUCUGGGAUAGAAUUCCAUAUGCUCGGAAAAUUUGUCCGUAGGUAAUAAAAGGCACCUUAUAUGGUUUGGGCAAUUAGGUCCCAAUUAAACAUUAGAUAGCCGGCAUGUUUCCGUGGAGAUCCAACAAGGAAAAAUUUGAUGAAAGAAAUCCGAGUAACUAGUUGUCUUGCAUAUUUACAAAGUUCAAAUCCUUUGGUUGUUGUGCUUUGACUCGAUUGUCUAUUAUGCCAUUUCAUUUACUUGCACAUUGCCCACUUGUUCAUUUAACACACAUCACCCACUUGGUGAUUUGCCAGUUGUGGGCUGACAGCCAUAUAGAUUUAUUUUUUUGAGAUCUCGUCAUAUAGAAUUGUAAUAGCACUGACAUGGAAAAGGUUAAAAACUGAAAAACUGAAAAAAGUAAAUCAAACAAACAAAUGGUGUGCAAACUAAAUCAGACGGCACAAGACAAGUGAGAUUUAGUCAGGACUCUUUCAGAUGAAGAUAAGCAAAUUGCAAGAAAACAACAUGCAGAAACAAUUUUAUAUCAUAGCAUAACAUGCAAAAAAGCACAUAUAUAGUACAACGACAACCCACGUGUCUAUAUGCUAUCUAUAUGUAUAUCUAUCUAUCUAUAUCUAUCUAUCUAUCUAUCUAUCUAUCCUUACUAAUAAAAGACGGAUCAUUUAUGCCCAUCCGUCUCAUGUUUUGCAACAAAAUACCCUACUUUUUUCUUUAAUUAACCCGCGGUCAAGGUUUAGGUGAGGUUCGUCCGUUGUUUUUUUUGCAAAGAACGAGGAAACGGUUGCGUUUUGUGAGAUUCAAACUCAUGAUGUCCCCUCCAUGCCCAAAAGCCACAGCCAACUGAGUUAGCAUGCACUUGUGCUACCAAAUAGGUCCAUUAUUUCAUUAAAUUGUCCAUCCUUGAUUCUUUGCAUGAGAAUACACAAAUUUAUAUGUGAUUGCAAAUUGCCUGGAAAUCAACAAGCCAACUCGAUAACCAAGAAAUAGAGGGAGAGGAGGAAUUCACUCAAUAAAUAGUGUUAACUAGCAGGGUUUCCCGCGCAUUUGUGCGGCUAGCUGACCCUUUCCGAUGCCAACUAUAUGGCCUUUCACUAAACUAUAUUUUGAUUAAAUUUACACCUUGUAUAUGUCAUCAUAGAAAAAAUGAAAAUCGUAAUGAAACAUGCAAGUGCAUCAGGUUGUUCAUUUUAAUAUAGAAGUGCAUUAGGUUUUUAAAUAAAUUCCUUGGCAUGUCAGGUUGCAACACAGAUAAAAAACCAUGUAUGGGAUUUCAUGCCAAUCUUGGUGUUUUUCCUGUGUGAUCACUCCUCCUUUGUAUCAUUUAAUAGGUUUUCAAGAAAUUCCCUACCAAGACUUAAAUCUAAACAUGAAAUUCUGGUAUGUAAAGGUCCCUUCUUCUAGUCAUACCAAUCAACGGACGCAUUCUUAACUACCUUUUCUUGAUUAAUGCCGCCUACCCACUUAUGUAUCAAGAGAUUCACAUCUUCUAUCGUGCUUAUUUUUUCUAUUGAUAAUAUUUUACAAAAUAUUAUCUUUGACUCACUCCCUUUUAAUUUCUGAAGACUUUGAAAGUGAAGAAAUUGGUGUGACCUUGAAGACUUGGUAUUCAUUCGAGGAACAUGAAGCGUGAAGACUUUUGUUUUAGUAGUUUCAUUUUCUCUUUCUUGAGUCAUAGGAAACACUGUACUGUUAAAGGGGGUCGAGUAAAUACUAAGGAAAAAUUUCCAAGUGAUGCUCAACUUAAAAUCCUACACCUACCAAUCCCUUCGAGUGAAGCCAUUGGAAAUCUCAUGCAGUUCAGUCAGUUUCUUCAGUGACAGAGACGAAGUACUUCUGGUCUCUGAGGAAUUUGUUCUGCCUAAGGAGUUAGGAAUUCGCCAGUGCGGAUUGCCUACAAGUGAGGAACAUGAUAGCCCUGAGGAAUUAGACACUCGAAAUUCCGACCGUUGCUGUGCUAUGCGCCAGCUGUCCCAAAAUAUCUUACCCACCUAACGGUCAUAUCAUUGAAGGGCAUUUAUGUCUUAUCAUGUAGGGCUGCUCCCUAGGCUAUAAAUAGCCGCCCCCUACAACGACUAUCUGGUUGGCUGCUCCGAGAGAAACCGACACUUGUCAUUUGAGAACAUCCCAUCCUCCGAGGACUUUAAGCGAAAAUCAUCAAGUGAGGAAAACCCAAACCCAAACACCUAAAAACCCAAAGUGAUUGAGCAUCACUAAAGAGAUUGAUCCUGCGUGGAUCCGACACUUGUUACCUUUGAAGAAUGUGCAUCUUCCAGAUGGUUAGGCGUCAUGGUCUAGAGCAUCCAAGAGGAAAUUGUUGAUCGCCGAGUGACCGAGUUUGUGAAGGUUUGGAAGUCACCUGAAGACUUACCACGAGUGAUUGGGCGAGGCUGUGUGACCGUAGCGAUGACGGACGCUGAGACGAGCACGUGACACCACUACCACCCUAUCUAUCAUCGGGUAACGCGAGUCGAGGCAAACGUCGUCGCGGUAGCGACGACAGACGCCAAGACGAGCACUUGACACCCUGGCCACCCUGUCUAUCUUAGUGUAACGCGAGUCGAGGCGAACGUCAUCGCAGUAGCGAGGACGAACGACGAGACGAGCACGUGACACUACUACCACCCUCUCUUAAAAGUCGAGGCGGACGUCGUCUAGCUUGUCACGUCAAAUUGACACAAAAAAUGUUCAUUUAAAAAAAAUAUCAGAUAUUUCGGAAAAUGUUCUUGUUUUAAAGGAAAUUUCAGGAAUUCAAAAGUUGUUUAGUUCUAUAAAUAUGUUCUUGAUUUGAAUUUUUCUCAUUAAUUUUAAAACAUGUUCAUAGUAGAUCAAUUUAAUGAACAUUUCGAUUCAACCAAAAAGAUGUAGAUCAAUUUAAUUCAGCAUGUUAAUUUUUGUUUAAUAAAAUUAUGUUCAUGGAAAGUAUUAAUCGAAAGGGAAUAGAGGAAUAGGCGAAUUUAUUUUUUUCUGUGUAAAAGUAGCUAUUCAUUUUAGUUGAAAGUGCUAGUUCAUUUCAAUUAAAAGUGGGAUUUCCGGCCCAUUAGUGUCCGUGAAAAACCGCUGGCCCAGAAAGGGAAUAGGAAAACACAGGCCCAAAAGGAAAAAACGUGGAAAGGGAAUAGAGGCUAGGUGAGGUAUUGGGCCAAGGCUGGGCCGAACUCACAAAAAGUGGAGCUCUCAAGGCCGGAAUUGAUCACGAAAGGGAAUAGAAUGGGCGCAACCGUUCGCUAACUUUGUGGUUUGCUGUCGCAUCGAUCUGGUGCGAAAUGAGAGCUCCUAUGUGUCGCAUUUUACGGCAAAUUGCCACCAUAUCGCACAGGGGCGCCACCGAGUGGGCCGGCCCAUUAGCAGCACUGCAGCGAGCCAAUAAACGCACUGUAGCUAAAAACUGAGCGCCCCCGUGGAGGCAUCGACCUCGCGACCUCUGGCUAUUGAAUGACUCUCGCUAGCCACUUGAGCUGAUGGCCCGUUGGUUAUUGUUAUACACCGCGAAAUACUAAAAGCACUACUCGGAGGAGCUGAUCAAACAUGUACUGUAGCGACCGGACUGUGUACUGUUACGACAUGAACAAGGCAAGGUAGAGUUUUUUUUAGAAGCUCCAAAUCUUUCUUUGAAAAACGUGAACAUUUUUUAAAAACACAAAUAAAAAUUCAAAUUUCAAACAUUUUUCAAAACAGAUAAAAAAAGUAGAAACCACAAAAGUAUUUUGAAUUUGUGAACAUUUCUCCGAGAAAGGGAACAUUUUUUAAAUUCCGAACAAAUUUUGAAAGCCUGAACAUUAUUUGAAACUCCCCGAACAAUUUUUGAAUUUGUGAACAAAUUUUGAAAACGAGAACAUUUUUUGAAAUUGUGAACAAAAUUUUGAAACCACAAACAUUUUUUGAAAUUGGAAGCAAUUUUGGAAUUUGUGACUUUUUUUCAAAAUGAGAACUUUUUUGAAAUUCUGAAUUAUAUUUGAAAUUUUCAAAAAAGUUCGAAUAGAAAAAUAAACUUAAAAAAGAAAAAGAGAAAAAUGAAAAAGAAAACAAAACAAUAUUCAAAAAUUCAUGAACGUUGUUUUGAAAAUAUUUAGAAAAGAAGCGAACAAUUUUUGAAAUUUCUGAACAAAAUUUGAAAACAGGAACAUUUAAAAAAAAUAAGGAUCAUGUUUUGAAAUUCCCAAACAAUUUUAAAAUGCAAACAUUUUUUGAAUGUAGAAACAAAAUUUGAAAACAGGAACAUUUUCCAAAAUUUGAACUUUGUUUAGGAACCUGAAUAUUUCUAGAAAAAGAAAAAUGAAAUUGAAUAAAAAGGAAACGGAAAAAGAAAAACCUGACCACAAAGAAAUAGAAAAACGAAAAGAAAAGAAAAAACCGUAUAAAAGAAAAAAAAACCCGGUUCAGGAAACCUUCUGGAAGGUUCCCAAAGCCGGAUGGGGUAGUGCCAAUACGAUCUACUCAAAUGGGCCGGCCUAGUCGUGUCGAUCGGCCGAUCGCCUGUGCGUUGCCCCGGCAACUUGCCGCAACGAGCGACAAACAAGAAAUUCCGUGCGAAAAAUCAAGUGCGCCUCUUAGGACGCGCGCUAGCGACGCCGCAUUGGAGUUCUCUCUAUACGUAUACUUGCUAGCGUUGAUCAAGCACGGAAAUAAGCGAGCUCACUUCUCUCUAUUAGCUAGCUAACACAAUAUAUGAAACCCCCUCUCCCUUCUUUCAAAAAAAAACAAAACCCCUGCUCCUGCCAGCUGCUGACGCGUGGAUGCCUUUUGGUACCGGUUGGUGUUACCAACCGGGACAAAAGGUGCUCCAGCCUAGGCACCUCGCAGCGGCCACGUGGAGCCCGUUGCGAAUCGGGACUAAAGGUUUUGGGCUUUAGUCCCAACCCUUUAGUCCCGGUUCCAGAACCGGGGCUAAGGGGCCUCUGAAACCGGGACAAAUGGGCCGGUUUCUAUGAGUCGAAGCUCCAUCCUCCUUUCUGGUCCUCUGUUCCUUUUCUCAUAUCAGCUUUCAUCCAUCUCCCAUACUGUUGCACCUCACCUCUCCCAAGUCCAAUAGAACACGCCUUGUUCACGUGUCCAAUUAUACCACACGUGUAACAAAAAUCAGGGAGGUACUCAUACUCUAGGGGGCACCAUUUUUGCUCAUCAUCUUUCUUCUUUCUUUUAUCCACGUCCAUCACUUCUGCAGACUCAUUGUCUUCUCCCGUUCAAUAUCCAAAGUGAUUCCUCUCAACAGUGGCUUUGUAAUGUCUAGUCUAACUUUCAGAACUUCCAGCCACAUUAUCAUCAUCCCCCUGGUUACCUCCAUGAACUCGCCAGUCUCGUCACCAAUGAUACCUCCGUUUUCAUCACUCAUGAAACCGAGCGGCAUCUUGGUCACCCUGACCCAAAUAAGGAUGAUAGUGAACUCAUACUCUCCUAGCGUUUUAGCUGGGUCGAAAUCUACCAUCACAAUCAGGUCCUUGCCCACCAUCCAUGGCCCUUCCUCCAAUGCUUUCCUCUUCCCCGCUGCUUGCAAGAAGGUGAAAAGAAAGGUGUUGUCCUCUAACCCCUUGCACUUGAUUCCCUUGAUCGGACACCACACUCUUCCGAGGGAUUUGAUCAUACCUUCCAUAUAUACUGGUUUCUCGGACAUAACCUUACCGAUCGCCUGUGGAUCUUCCGUUCCCGUUCUCCUCAACCCGCCUCUUCCGAUCUUGACUCCCUUCUUCUCUGCUUCUGGCAACCGCAACUUCUGCAUCAAACCUUCCACUUUCUCCAUUGUGUCGAGGACUUGCAUCGAUCUAUGGUUUACUAGGUGGUUGUAUUAUGAAUGAAUGCCCUAGCAACACUCGUAAGGCUUUUGGUGGAUGGGUGAGCGGUCUCGAGAUCAAUCCAGCAAGGAUCGCCGAGGCUAGGGGGAGAGUUUGCUGGCGUAGGCCAGAGACGGGGUCGCCUGAGGGGACUCUAGGGUUUACCAGGAGUCACCGCAGAAUCCCCUGGGAAUCGCCCAAGCGCCAAUCGUGGAACCGUCACCCAAGGACGGACGGGUUAAGGAUGAUAAUUAAAGCGGACUUUGAUAGAGAGACACGUGAGAAAUAGAGUGAUAGAGAGAGAUACGUGAAAAUUAAAGCGGUUUUAAUUUCUUUCUUUUCUGUAAUUAAAGAGAUACGCAUGAGAAAUAGAGAGAUAAGAGAGAUACGUGAGAAUUAAAGCUGUUUUAAUUUUUUCCGUUUCUAUAAUUAAAGAUCUGAUCUACACAGUUAUAAUCUUGACCCGCAAAAUCAACGGCCUCCAUUUUCUAUUUUUCUCUAAUUAAUGUGGGAAUUUCUUGGGAGUGCCUAUUAGUAUAGGUAUAUAUAUGUGCAAAAAAUCUCGACAUUAAUGAACAUAUAUCUGGUGCACUUGCAAUCUUUUGUAGUACAUUAAUGAAUAUUUAAAGUAUUUUCCAACUCUUGCUAUUUAUAGACUUGUCAUCCGUGUCUGCCACAUUUGGAGUCCAACUAUUUCCUACUGGAACCUUACACUCCACUAGAACUGAGUUUGUCAAGUAACAGAUAACCAAUAUGAGAGGGAGCAGCCUAGUGCAGGGGACGAUGAUAUUCUUCAUUGGAUGCCUUGUGCUUUGUGCACAGUGUAAGUAUAUAUCAUCAUCGUCUUUAGAAUCUUGUGUUAACUUCUUGCCACUAAUUCUUCGGAUCAGACAUACAUACACACACACAUCUGCGGUACUGCAUACUAAGGUUAAAUAUACUAUACAGGUGCUCUCGAUAAUAAGCAAAGGAUGGUCAACCAAGAUGAUCAUGCGGCGAACACAAGUACCAACGCUACCAUCAUCAACUCAACAUCUGUAGGCGAGAGCAAGAAAACCGAGAAAUUUUGCAGCCUCUUUCUCGUAUGUUAUUUCAACAUUGAGAUUCGUGCUGAGUGCUACUGUUGCGAGAAUAAGAAUGCCGACUGUUACAAGACGAAGAGUGAGUGCCUGCAGAAGUGCCAUUCCUACAACGGUUAAUGCCCACCUUCAUCGCGGUCUCUGGGAUAGAAUUCCAUAUGCUCGGAAAAUUUGUCCGUAGGUAAUAAAAGGCACCUUAUAUGGUUUGGGCAAUUAGGUCCCAAUUAAACAUUAGAUAGCCGGCAUGUUUCCGUGGAGAUCCAACAAGGAAAAAUUUGAUGAAAGAAAUCCGAGUAACUAGUUGUCUUGCAUAUUUACAAAGUUCAAAUCCUUUGGCUGUUGUGCUUUGACUCGAUUGUCUAUUAUGCCAUUUCAUUUACUUGCACAUUGCCCACUUGUUCAUUUAACACACAUCACCCACUUGGUGAUUUGCCAGUUGUGGGCUGACAGCCAUAUAGAUUUAUUUUUUUGAGAUCUCGUCAUAUAGAAUUGUAAUAGCACUGACAUGGAAAAGGUUAAAAACUGAAAAACUGAAAAAAGUAAAUCAAACAAACAAAUGGUGUGCAAACUAAAUCAGACGGCACAAGACAAGUGAGAUUUAGUCAGGACUCUUUCAGAUGAAGAUAAGCAAAUUGCAAGAAAACAACAUGCAGAAACAAUUUUAUAUCAUAGCAUAACAUGCAAAAAAGCACAUAUAUAGUACAACGACAACCCACGUGUCUAUAUGCUAUCUAUAUGUAUAUUUAUCUAUCUAUAUCUAUCUAUCUAUCUAUCUAUCUAUCCUUACUAAUAAAAGACGGAUCAUUUAUGCCCAUCCGUCUCAUGUUUUGCAACAAAAUACCCUACUUUUUUCUUUAAUUAACCCGCGGUCAAGGUUUAGGUGAGGUUCGUCCGUUGUGUUUUUUGCAAAGAACGAGGAAACGGUUGCGUUUUGUGAGAUUCAAACUCAUGAUGUCCCCUCCAUGCCCAAAAGCCACAGCCAACUGAGUUAGCAUGCACUUGUGCUACCAAAUAGGUCCAUUAUUUCAUUAAAUUGUCCAACCUUGAUUCUUUGCAUGAGAAUACACAAAUUUAUAUGUGAUUGCAAAUUGCCUGGAAAUCAACAAGCCAACUCGAUAACCAAGAAAUAGAGGGAGAGGAGGAAUUCACUCAAUAAAUAGUGUUAACUAGCCGGGUUUCCCGCGCAUUUGUGCGGCUAGCUGACCCUUUCCGAUGCCAACUAUAUGGCCUUUCACUAAACUAUAUUUUGAUUAAAUUUACACCUUGUAUAUGUCAUCAUAGAAAAAAUGAAAAUCGUAAUGAAACAUGCAAGUGCAUCAGGUUGUUCAUUUUAAUAUAGAAGUGCAUUAGGUUUUUAAAUAAAUUCCUUGGCAUGUCAGGUUGCAACACAGAUAAAAAACCAUGUAUGGGAUUUCAUGCCAAUCUUGGUGUUUUUCCUGUGUGAUCACUCCUCCUUUGUAUCAUUUAAUAGGUUUUCGAGAAAUUCCCUACCAAGACUUAAAUCAAAACAUGAAAUUCUGGUAUGUAAAGGUCCCUUCUUCUAGUCAUACCAAUCAACGGACGCAUUCUUAACUACCUUUUCUUGAUUAAUGCCGCCUACCCACUUAUGUAUCAAGAGAUUCACAUCUUCUAUCGUGCUUAUUUUUUCUAUUGAUAAUAUUUUACAAAAUAUUAUCUUUGACUCACUCCCUUUUAAUUUCUGAAGACUUUGAAAGUGAAGAAAUUGGUGUGACCUUGAAGACUUGGUAUUCAUUCGAGGAACAUGAAGCGUGAAGACUUUUGUUUUAGUAGUUUCAUUUUCUCUUUCUUGAGUCAUAGGAAACACUGUACUGUUAAAGGGGGUCGAGUAAAUACUAAGGAAAAAUUUCCAAGUGAUGCUCAACUUAAAAUCCUACACCUACCAAUCCCUUCGAGUGAAGCCAUUGGAAAUCUCAUGCAGUUCAGUCAGUUUCUUCAGUGACAGAGACGAAGUACUUCUGGUCUCUGAGGAAUUUGUUCUGACUGAGGAGUUAGGAAUUCGCCAGUGCGGAUUGCCUACAAGUGAGGAACAUGAUAGCCCUGAGGAAUUAGACACUCAAAAUUCCGACCGUUGCUGUGCUAUGCGCCAGCUGUCCCAAAAUAUCUUACCCACCUAACGGUCAUAUCAUUGAAGGGCAUUUAUGUCUUAUCAUGUAGGGCUGCUGCCUAGGCUAUAAAUAGCCGCCCCCUACAACCACUAUCUGGUUGGCUGCUCCGAGAGAAACCGACACUUGUCAUUUGAGAGCAUCCCAUCCUCCGAGGACUUUAAGCGAAAAUCAUCAAGUGAGGAAAACCCAAACCCAAACACCUAAAAACCCGAAGUGAUUGAGCAUCACUAAAGAGAUUGAUCCUGCGUGGAUCCGACACUUGUUACCUCUGAAGAAUGUGCAUCUUCCAGACGGUUAGGCGUCAUGGUCUAGAGCAUCCAAGAGGAAAUUGUUGAUCGCCGAGUGACCGAGUUUGUGAAGGUUUGGAAUUCACCUGAAGACUUACCACGAGUGAUUGGGCGAGGCUGUGUGACCGUAGCUCAAGGAGAAUACGGUGAGGACUGUGUGUCCGGGACUAUGUGUCCUCAGGUUUAAAUACCUAGCCGCUCCAACCAGACGUACAACUGUCAUAGCAGUUGGAACUGGUCUACCAAAUCAUUGUCUUCACCAACCCUACUGGUUCUAUUUCCUCAACUCUUUCAUUUCCUCAUUACUGUGUUGUGUGCUUGUUCAUAUCUUUUUGAAGACUUUGACUGAAGACUUUCUCAAUUUCCUCAGUUUAAUUUCUUCAGUCUGUUUUGUCUUCAUCAUGUUUUAUCCUAUGCUUACGCUUCCUGUACUCUGUGUCUGUUUUCGUUUCAUCAUGAUGACCAUGUUUAUGUUAUGUCAUGUAUGGAUCUGAGUACUUAUUCCGCUGAAGUAGUUCUUCGCUAAGGAAUUUCCUCACCCUGAAAUUCCUCAGUGAAGAAUUCAUAAAAAUCGCCUAUUCACGCCCCCUCUAGUUGACUUAACGAACUUUCAUCGUCACAUUAGCAACGCCGCACGCCGAGACGAGCACGUGACACCAAGGCCACCCUAUCUAUCUUACGGUAACGCGAGUCGAGGCGAAUGUCGCCGCGGUAGCGACGACGGACGCCGAGACGAGUACGUGACACCACUGCCACCCUGUCUAUCUUAGGGCAACGCGACUAGACGCGGACGUUGUCGCGGUAGCGAUGAAGGACGCCGAGACGAGCACGUGACACCAUUGCCCCAGUCUAUCUUAGGGUAACGCGAGUCGAGGCGGAUGUCGUCGCGGUAGCGGCGAUGGACGCCGAGACGAGCACGUGACACCACUGCCACCCUGUCUAUCUUAGGGUAAUGCGAGUCGAGGGGGAUGUCGUUGUGGUAGCGACGACGGACGCCAAGACGAGCAUGUGACACCACUGCCACCCUGUGUAUCUUAGGGUAACGCGGGUCGAGGCGGACAUCGUCGCGGUAGCGGCAACGCACACUGAGACGAGCACAUGACACCACUGCCACCCUGUCUUAGGGUAACGCAAGUGUCGAGGCGGACGUCGUCGCGGUAGCGACGACGAACGCCAAGACGAGGACAUGACGCUAGGGCCACCUUGUCUAUCUUAGGGUAACGCGAGUCGAGGCGGACGUCGUCGCGGUAGCGACGACGGACGACGAGACGAGCACGUGACACCACUGCCACCCUGUCUAUCUUAGGGCAACGCGACUCGACUGCCAUGUGAUAUAGGUCAGAACUUUUCUGAAUACUUAGUGUCGCCAUGUGAUCCAGACGAAUAAUUAAGAAAGUAUAUAAUUUUACAACCAUGGAUACGCGAGUCGAGGCGGACGUCGUCCCGAUAGUGAUGGCGGACGCCGAGAUGAGCACGUGGCACCACUGCCACCCUGUCUUAGGGUAACGCGAGUCGAGGCGGACGUCGGCGCAUUAGCGACGACGGACGCCGACACGAGCACGUGACACCAGGGCCACCCUGUCUAUCUUACGGUAACACGAGUCAAGGAGGACGUCGUUGUGGUAGCGACGACGGACGCCGAGACGAGCACGUGACACCACUGUCACCCUGUCUAUCUUAGGGCAACGCGAAUCGACGCGGACGUCGCCACGGUAGCGACGACGGACGUCGAGACGAGCACGUGACACCACUGCCACCAUGUCUAUCUUAGGGUAACGAGAGUCGAGGCGAACAUCAUCGCAGAUGCGACGAUGGAUGCCGAGACGAGCACGUGACACCACUACCACCCUAUCUUAGCGUAAUGAGAGUUGAGGUGGACGUUGUCGCGAUAGCGACUACGGAAGCCGAGAUGAGCACGUGACACCACUGCCACCCUGUCUUAGGGUAAUGCGAGUCGAGGCAGACGUCGUCGCAUUAGCAACGCCGGACCGCGAGAUGAGCACGUGACACCAAGGCCACCCUGUCUAUCUUACGCUAACGCGAGUCGAGGCGGACGGCGUCGCGGUAGCGACGACGGACGCCGAGACGAGCAUGUGACACCACUGUCACCCUAUCUAUCUUAGGGAAACGUGAGUCGACGCGGACGUCGUCGUGGUAGNNNNNNNNNNNNNNNNNNNNNNNNNNNNNNNNNNNNNNNNNNNNNNNNNNNNNNNNNNNNNNNNNNNNNNNNNNNNNNNNNNNNNNNNNNNNNNNNNNNNNNNNNNNNNNNNNNNNNNNNNNNNNNNNNNNNNNNNNNNNNNNNNNNNNNNNNNNNNNNNNNNNNNNNNNNNNNNNNNNNNNNNNNNNNNNNNNNNNNNNNNNNNNNNNNNNNNNNNNNNNNNNNNNNNNNNNNNNNNNNNNNNNNNNNNNNNNNNNNNNNNNNNNNNNNNNNNNNNNNNNNNNNNNNNNNNNNNNNNNNNNNNNNNNNNNNNNNNNNNNNNNNNNNNNNNNNNNNNNNNNNNNNNNNNNNNNNNNNNNNNNNNNNNNNNNNNNNNNNNNNNNNNNNNNNNNNNNNNNNNNNNNNNNNNNNNNNNNNNNNNNNNNNNNNNNNNNNNNNNNNNNNNNNNNNNNNNNNNNNNNNNNNNNNNNNNNNNNNNNNNNNNNNNNNNNNNNNNNNNNNNNNNNNNNNNNNNNNNNNNNNNNNNNNNNNNNNNNNNNNNNNNNNNNNNNNNNNNNNNNNNNNNNNNNNNNNNNNNNNNNNNNNNNNNNNNNNNNNNNNNNNNNNNNNNNNNNNNNNNNNNNNNNNNNNNNNNNNNNNNNNNNNNNNNNNNNNNNNNNNNNNNNNNNNNNNNNNNNNNNNNNNNNNNNNNNNNNNNNNNNNNNNNNNNNNNNNNNNNNNNNNNNNNNNNNNNNNNNNNNNNNNNNNNNNNNNNNNNNNNNNNNNNNNNNNNNNNNNNNNNNNNNNNNNNNNNNNNNNNNNNNNNNNNNNNNNNNNNNNNNNNNNNNNNNNNNNNNNNNNNNNNNNNNNNNNNNNNNNNNNNNNNNNNNNNNNNNNNNNNNNNNNNNNNNNNNNNNNNNNNNNNNNNNNNNNNNNNNNNNNNNNNNNNNNNNNNNNNNNNNNNNNNNNNNNNNNNNNNNNNNNNNNNNNNNNNNNNNNNNNNNNNNNNNNNNNNNNNNNNNNNNNNNNNNNNNNNNNNNNNNNNNNNNNNNNNNNNNNNNNNNNNNNNNNNNNNNNNNNNNNNNNNNNNNNNNNNNNNNNNNNNNNNNNNNNNNNNGCGUCGCGCUAGCGACGACGGACGCCGAGACGAGCACAUGACACCAAUACCACCAUGUCUAUCUUAGGGAAACGCGAGUCGACGCGGAUGUCGUCGUGGUAGCGACGCGGACACCGAGGCAAGCACGUGACACCACUGCCACCCUGUCUAUCUUAGGGUAACACGAGUCGUGGCGGAUGUCGUCGUGGUAGCGACGACGGACGCCGAGACUAGCACGUGACACCACUGCCACCCUGUCUUAGGGUAACGCGAGGCGAUGCGAAUGUCGUCGCGGUAGCGACGAUGGACUCCUAUACGAGCAUGUGACACCACUGCCACCCUCUCUUAGGGUAACACGAGUAGAGGCGGAGGUCGUCGCGGAAGCGGCGACGGAUGCCUAGGCGAGAACGUGACACCACUGCCACCUUGUCUUAGCGUAACGCAAGUCGAGGCGGACGUCGUCCCGAUAGCGACGACGGACGCCACGGCGAGCACGUGACACCACUGCCACCCUUUCUUAGCGGAACACGAGUCGAGGCGGACGUCGUCGCGAUAGCGAUGACGGACGCCAAGACGAGCAUGUGACACCGCUGCCACCCUGUCUUAGGGUAACACGAGUUGAGGCGGACGUCGUCCCGUUAGCAACGACGGACGCCGUGACGAAAGUGGAGCGCUCAAGGCCGGAAUCGACCGCGAAAGGGAAUAGAAUGGGCGCAACCAUUCGCUAACUUUGUCGUUUGCUGUCGCAUCGAUCUGGUGUGAAAUGAGAGCUCCUAUGUGUCGCAUUUUGCGGGGCGCCACCGAGUGGGCCGGCCCAUUAGUAGCACUGCAGCAAGCCAAUAAACGCACUGUAGCUAAAAACUGAGCGCCCCGUGGGGACGGACGCCGAGACGAGCACGUGACACCACUGCCACCCUGUCUUAAAAGUCGAGGCGGACGUCGUCUAGCAUGUCAUGUCAAAUUGACACAAAAAAUGUUCAUUUAAAAAAAAUAUUAGAUAUUUCAGAAAAUGUUCUUGUUUUUCAGGAAAUUUCAGGAAUUCAAAAGUUGUUUAUUUCUACAAAUUUGUUCUUGAUUUGAAUUUUUUCUCAUUAAUUUUAAAACAUGUUCAUAGUAGAUCAAUUUAAUGAACAUUUCGAUUCAACCAAAAAGCUGUAGAUCAAUUUAAUUCAGUAUGUUAAUUUAUGUUUAAUAAAAUUAUGUUCAUGAAAAGUAUUAAUCGAAAGGGAAUAGAGGAAUAUGCGAAUUUAUUUUUUGUGUGUAAAAGUAGCUAUUCAUUUUAGUUGAAAGUGCUAGUUCAUUUCAAUUAAAAGUGGGAUUUCCGGCCCGUUAUUGUCCCUGAAAAACCACUGGCCCAGAAAGGGAAUAGGAAAACACAGGCCCAAAAGAAAAAAACAUGGAAAGGGAAUAGAGGCUAGGUGAGGUAUUGGGCCAAGGCUGGGCCGAACUCAUGAAAAGUGGAGCGCUCAAGGCCGGAAUCGAUCACGAAAGGGAAUAGAAUGGGCGCAACCAUUCGCUAACUUUGUCGUUUGCUGUCGCAUCGAUCUGGUGCGAAAUGAGAGCUCCUAUGUGUCGCAUUUUGCGGGGCGCCACCGAGUGGGCCGGCCCAUUAGCAGCACUGCAGCGAGCCAAUAAACGCACUGUAGCUAAAAACUGAGCGCCCCCGUGGGGGGAGCGAACUAGCGACCUCUGGCUACUGAAUGACUCUCGCUAGCCACUUGAGCUGAUGACCCGUUGGUUAUUGUUAUACACCGCAAAAUACUAAAAGCACUACUGGGAGGAGCAGAUCAAACAUGUACUGUAGCGACCGGACCGUGUACUGUAACGACACGAACAAGGCAAGGUAGAGUUUCUUUUAGAAGCUCCAAAUCUUUCUUUGAAAAACAUGAACAUUUUUUAAAAAUACAAAUAAAAUUUCAAAUUUCAAACAUUUUUCAAAACAGAUAAAAAAUUUAGAAAACCACAAAAGUAUUUAGAAUUUGUGAACAUUCUUUUGAAAAAGGGAACAUUUUUUAAAUUCCGAACAAAUUUUGAAAGCCUGAACAUUAUUUGAAACUCCCCGAACAAUUUUUGAAUUUGUGAACAAAUUUUGAAAACGAGAACAUUUUUUGAAAUUGUGAACAAAUUUUUUAAACCACAUACAUUUUUUGAAAUUGUAAACACUUUUUGAAUUUGUGAAAAUAUUUCAAAAUGAGAACAUUUUUUGAAAUUCUGAAUUAUAUUUGAAAUUUUCAAAAAAGUUCGAAUAGAAAAAUAAACUUAAAAAAUAAUAAGAGAAAAAUGAAAUAGAAAACAAAAAAAUAUUCAGAAAUUCAUGAACGUUGUUUUGAAAAUAUUUAGAAAAGAAGCCAACAAUUUUUGAAAUUUCUGGACAAAAUUUGAAAACAGGAACAUUUUUGGAAAUUCCGAAACAAUUUUAAAAUGCAAACAUUUUUUGAAUGUAGAAACAAAAUUUGAAAAAAGGAACAUUUUCCAAAUUUUGAACUUUUUUUAGGAAUCUGAAUAUUUCUAGAAAAAGAAAAAUGAAAUUGAAUAAAAAGAAAACGGAAAAAGAAAAAGAAAAACCUGACCACAAAGAAAUAGAAAAAAAGAAAAGAAAAGAAAAGAAAAAACCGUAGAAAAGAAAAAAACUGGUUCAGGGAACCUUCUGGAAGGUUCCCAAAACCAGAUGGGGUAGUGCCAACGCGAUCUACUCAAAUAGGCUGGCCCAGUCGUGUUGGUCGGCCGAUCGCCUGUGCAUUGCCCUGGCAACUUGCCGCGACGAGCGGCAAAUAGGAAAUUCCGUGCGAAAAAUCGAGGGCGCCUCUUAGGACGCGCGCGCUAGUGACGCCGCAUUGGAGUUCUCUCUAUACGGAUACUUGCUAGCGUUGACCAAGCACGGAAAUAAGCGAGGUCACUUCUCUCUAUUAGCUAGCUAACACAAUAUAUGAAACCCCCUCUCCCUUCUUUAAAAAAAACCAAAACCCCUGCUCCUGCUAGCUGCUGACGCGUGGAUGCCUUUUGGUACCGGUUGCUGUUACCAACCGGGACUAAAGGUGCUCCUGCCUAGGCGCCCCGCAGCGGCCACGUGGAGCCCCUUCUGUCCCGGUUCAUAAGCGAACCGGGACUAAAGGUUUUGGGCUUUAGUCCCGAACCUUUAGUCCCGGUUCCAGAACCGGGGCUAAAACUACAAAAAAAAUACACUUCCGUGGUGAUACACGUUUGUCACAGUAGGUCGCAUUUUCUGUCAUGCAUGUACAUCCAUGACGAUUUUAUGACAGAAUCAAGGUAGUCAUACCUGUGCUGUCGUAGAAGUGUUCCAUGACAUUACCAAAAUUAUCAUCACGGAAAUGUCCACUUCCAUGACGAUAAAUCCCGCGUCACAGAAGUGCUUUCGUCAAGGGUGACCGACACGUGGCAUCCACCGUAACGGAACGCCGUUAAGCUAUCGGGUCGGGUUUUGGAUCCGAUAACCCGUUAACAACCCCGACCAAUGGGGAUUUUCCACGUGUAAAAUCAUCAUUGGCUGGAGGAAACACGUGUCGGCUCAUCGUUGGGACAGAUGUCAUCCACUCAAUGGACAGAAGGCGCCUAUGAUACGUCGACACGUGGCACGGCCCAACAGAGGCCCAUUCCUGUGAAAAGGCCGGCCCGUUUGACUUGGUCAAAAGGUGGCGGGCCGGCCCAUGUAAAGCCUGUUAACUGCCUGUUCGCAUAUAGCCCAUUUACAGCCCGCUAACCCAAGGCCCGUUACGCCCUAUCCGAAUUAGGCCCAGUAGCGUCAUCUGGGCCACCCAAUAUGAUUCCAGCCCGUUUUCACUUCUGGCCCAUGUAUGGCCCAUGACGUCUUUCGGCCCAUAUGAGGCCCUAUGUAACUCUUGGCCUAUUAACGGCCCGUGGUGAAACUGGCCCGUAAUGAACAGUGUAUCACUUUACACCCAUUAACGGCCCGUGGUGAAACUGGCCCGUAAUGAACAGUGUAUCACUUUAUACCCAUUAACGGCCCGUUAUCCCGUUGGGCCGUUUCCAUCCCAUGUUAUCUUUCGGCCUUCUCAGAGCCCAUUUAUUCUUGGGCUCAUUUACAGCAUUCGUUUACUUAUGGCCCGUUACUGUCAUUUUCUGCUUGUGGGCCAAAUUCAGCCCGUGGUUACAGUCCGCCCGUUUGUGGUCCGUUAAUACGUUGGGCCGUUUUCAUAGCGUCAUCAAAUACGGCCUAUUAACGAUGGUCCGUUAUGGUCGGCCCAUGAACGGACGAUUCCAACUCUAGCCCGUUUACGGCCAUAAUGCGGCAUGUUAUUGGCCCAGGUUUGGCCAAUCGAUCAUACUGCCCGUAUAAGGCCCAUUGAUGAUACGGCCCGUAGAAGGCCCAUUGUUUCUACGGCCCAUAGAAGGCCCAUUGUUUCUACGGCCCGUAGAAGGCCCACUGUUUCUAUGGCCCGUAGAAGGCCCACUGUUUCUACGGCCCGUAGGAGGCCCAGUGUCACUACAGUAAAUAUUAGCCCAUGGUUAUUGUGGCCUAGUUUUAAAAAAUAGGCUAUUGCAGCCACUAGCAAACCGCGGAAAAAGAACUGCAAUGACUGCAAGCAAACAAAUAAACAAGACAACAAGGAAAUAAACAAGCAAGCAACUUAUGCUAGGCUAUCACACAUAUUACAUCCACUGGGCAUCAAAGUUCGCCACCAGUGCAAAUAAACGCGCCGACAAAAGAAUAUACAAAACUGAGAGCACUUCAGGAGGCACUAGGCCUGGCCAUGUCGGGCCCCCCAAACAGCCGAAGAAGCUGAGUAGACCUCGGUUGUGUCAACGAUAGAUGCAUCAACACUAGAUUUAAGGCAUGAUGGUGCGCAUGGCAGUCCUCUGACAUCUUCAUUGCAUCUUUGACUUCAAGUCGGAGCUGAGCUGAAGCAAGCCUUUCCGCUUUAAGUUGAGACUGAAGAAGUCGAACUGAUUGAGGCAGCGACUGCACAGAGGUUGUCUCACACCUGCUGGUGAGUAGCUUCAACUCACUGUCUUCAUCAAGACAGGACCUCGGGGUCAUCUCGCUGUCCUCAAGAUGGUUUGGCUCACUAUCUUCCCUAAAGUUCUGCCUGGCGUAAGAGAUACGAGUCUGAAAGAGAAACAAGGAGACACGUAACAGGUUUCACAAUUAUAUAAGCAAAUAAAUGGAUCUGUUCUGCAUAAGGAACAUGUUUUUACAACUACAAUUUGAAACUGGUAGUUGUUGCAAACAUCCAAUCAGAUGUAAACAGCAAAGCAAACAGCAGUGGAGGAAAUGAUGCCUAUCCAAAUCUAUACUAGAACAAAGUUUGAAGGCUUGAGAAGGAUGAACUUACAUUACAUGUUAACACGGGCUGGACAAAGUCCUUCUCCAUGUUGAUGGAAGGAUAAUUCAAUAAAUUCCCCAAAGAAAAUUCUUUAUAAGCGUUGCCAUUAUUCUACAUUUUGCAAAGAGUAAAUAUAGAUCAAAUAAUAUUGGAAGAAACAGAGGAUAAUGAAGCUCAGGUGCAGACUGAUGAUACAUAAUCAAAUAGCAAUUAAUUAAGUACAACGUUACAAGGCAAAAGGGAGAGAGGUACUGACAAGAGCAAUGCAGAGCCCAUUAUUGUUUUGAGAUUGUAUGAUCCUUUGAGCAAGGAGAUUCAUCUGAAAUUAGUUUUCAUACAAGAGAGAAGGUAAGGCACAAGAAAAAUUUAGGAGUUCAAAUUUUGAAUUGAUAUCAUAGACAGUACCUGACGCUGGGCUCCCAGCAGUUCUAAUAGGGGUUUGGCCACUGGAGUAGGGGUAAAGUGUGGUACAGUUGGGCCUGUGUUUUCUGUGGCUGCUGAUCUAUCUGAUUUAACAGGUAUCACUACCUUUUCCAAAUACCUAGUUUGUACUCCUUGAGGAUCUGCACUCACCCUCUUCCUUUUGGAAAUCUAUUACGAAAGAACAACAUUUGACUGGAAAAACAUAGUGUGACGAGACAUGGAAUAGGUACAGAAAAUGGAUAGGUAUGGCAUAUACUCAUAUAUGAUGCUUAAACUAAGCAGAUGGUGUAACAAAGUAGAAGUAAUGCAAGCGGUCAGAUGCAAAAUAUGCGCGACCAAUACAACUUUGCAAAGUUAGAGCAAGCACCUUGAUGGGUGAAUAAGAUAGGCCAUCCUCCACCAUGCCAAGUUUGUUAGCCAGUGAAUCGUUCCGCAAUAUUCCUCUCAUGCGCCCAUUCUCAUAUUCAUUUUGAUAAUGUUCAAUAUCUGACAUGCAUGAAAACAUAAAAACAAGUGAGAUUUUCUUUGUAAUGCAGAAGUGAUUCUAAUCCAAUACUGCCUCCCUGUAAACCCCUUUGUGCUAUCUCUGCAAUUCUUUUAAAAGAUGCCAUGCAUGCUGUAAUUUGUUGUGUGCAUUAAUAUAAUGUCGCCUACUACUCAAAAUAUGAGAGCUCCAGAAGUGAUGACACUUCGCAGAUGAUAGCUUCAACAUAUAGUAAAGAAGAACAAGUCGACCUGACCUGACAUAUUCAAAAUAUACUAAGGGAGAACAACUCGACCUGACCAGUCGACCGCAAGGGAAGAGUAUCAUCUUAAAGAAGAGCAGAAGAGCAAGCAGAUUGAAGAUAUUACAAGUCUUUCAAUACAAUGUCGGUUGGCCACCCAUGAUGAACCAGAGCGCACAGAGAAAUACUAUUCUUUCUGGUCUCUCCAUAUGUGGCUCACAUGCAUUUCGAAACUAAAGAAGGAACAUUUAGCUAACCAAUUAAACAUCUCUCAGUUUUACUAAUAUCAGCAAUAAUAUCAUAUAUGAAUUUGUACAACUAAGCUUUUUUAGCUCGAUGGGUGGAGCAGUGCUAUUACGACACGAACCACGUAGGCUGAUUGUGGUCAUCAUAAAAUGGGGAAAACAUAAGCAUGAUGAGUACAGUGUUGACCGUGGCAGUGGGAUGGCAGAUCUGAAGCUGCAAACCGCGCAAAGGGUAGUUAGCAACCGAUGUUUGCUUUGAAAUAACAACUAAGAUUUGGUAUGGACAAGAAAGUACGGUCAACAAGUGACAAAGAAAUGCAAUUAUGCUGUCUCUCUAUAUGUCGCGACAUGCAUUUGGAAACUCAAGUGGGACCUUUAGCUAACCAAUUAAAUGUGUCGGUUAACUAAUAUCAGUAUCAUAUCACAAUCAUAUUUGAACAACUAAGCUUUCGAAUUCUGAGUGUUGUGUUGUUUAGCUUGAAGGGUGGAGUAAUGCUAGUACGACAGAAAGGACCUACGCAGAUCAGAGUAGAGUAGAUAAAAGGGGAAAACCCUAAGCAUCAAGAGAAAAAUCAGGAAAGUGGAACUAGCUGGACCAGUGGGUGGCGCACAUGCUUUUUGAAACGAAUAUAGGAACAUUAGGUGACCAAUUAAACGUUCUCUGUUUUAGUAAUAUGAGCAUCAUAUCAGAUUCGUAUUUCAACACGUAAGCUUUGGGUUGAGGUCUUGAGGAGCAGUGCUAGCACGACACGAAGCACCUACGAUGAUGGUAGUGAAUAUAAAGGGGGGAAACCAUAAGCUUUACGAGUAUAGUGCCCGUGCCAUGGAGGAUCUGAAGGUGCAAACCGGACAAAGCUACUUCACAACCAAUGUUUGCUUUCAACUAGCCACUAUGAUUUGGUACGGACAAGAAAAGUAAAGUAAACAAAUUACGGUCUAUUUUCCGGGUGAGAUCAAUAACUUAAGCACAUAUGGAAGAGUACCACCUCUCUUGCGACGCCGUGUAGGCCUAUGCUGAUACGUUGAGGGUGCUGCGGGUGCGAUGGCUAUCGGCGGCGGGGAAGAAGACUUUAGACGGCAGACGACCGGGUCAGGGGAUAUAUCCUGUUGCCGUGGACGAGGCGGUCGUAGGAGCGGCAACGGCAAGGUGGACGACGGCACCGAUGAAGCGAGAGGAGGCGAUGAAAGGAUCCUGGUCCAACGCCGUGGAUGAGAGACGUCCAUCUCUUGCAGUGGACGACGGGGUAGGGGUAGCGGCUCCGGCAAGGUGGAAGAUGGGGUGGCGGACGGAGGAGGCUGGCCGCAGUGCGGAGGUUGUCGUGCCGCCGACGGUGUAUGAAUGGGGAAAUGGAGGGGAGGGGGGAUCUCAAACUUUGGGACGCGCUUCUCUGAAAUGGGGGAAAGUUACGAACUUAUCCCCCGUUUAAAAUUUCGGACAUCGCAUCGGUUGGGGAUAGGACGGUAAUCUCGCAUCUCCCAAAUAUUUGCCGGUAACUAUUUCGGGCGAGGAGAGGGUGUUUUGCCGCCCACGGUUGGCGCCCACGGUGUAUGAACGGGGCUGACAGGUAGGGCGGUUGUGUCACGUCUGAUGGAAGUUACACAUCUGCCCCUAUUUAAAAUAUUAGCCUACAUCGAUUUCGGACGAGGAGAGUUUGUUUUGCCGCCCACCGUGUACGAAUGGGGAAAUGGAGGAAGAGACACAUGUCUUUCGGACGAGCUUGAAUCAAAUGUGUUUUGCUGCCCACGUUUGGCGCCCACCGUGUCUGAAUGGGCUCAGAGGCCGUCGUGUCACGUCUGAUUUAAGUUACUAGUCUACCCCUAUCGACAGCAGUGUAAAUCCGGUCGAUAAGGAUGUCAAGUGUGAGGGGUAGACAGUAAUUUCCAUCUCGCAAACACUUGCUUCGGGCAGCCCACAAAUUACAGUGGGUGUUUAGCCUCUUCGUUCAAAACUUGGGAGAAUUAGCAUUCACGUUUGCCCUGGGACCUGGCAAACUAAAUUCAAAUCCAAUUUGUAUUCAAUUACGAAUAUCCACAGAUAAUUAUACAUUUUGUUAUUUAUUUCUUCGAAACCAUAACAAACAUUUAUUCCACCUUUAUAUAUGAUUAUGAUUUAGAAAUGCCGUGAUCUUCGAAUUCAGUAGGUUGGAUACACUCUGAGUCAAACAGUUAUUUCAUCCAAUACAAUAUGCUCACACGAAAAACAGUUCACCUUAUGUCAAUCAUACAAGUACUGAGGAUUACCUCGCCUAAAAAAUUCGGAUCAUUACAACACAUGGACAACAUAGGGGGUCUUGCAACAUAAUCCAUUCAGAGAUAUGACACAACAUGCAAGUACAAUAAUCUAAUGACAAUUUCAACUGGUAUCUAAAGAAGAACCGGGAUUACCUUGGGCUUUAGAUAGCAGAAACAGCAGGACCUCCUCCGUCUUCAAAUGCAACAUUCUUACUUCCUCCAAUUCUAGGGUUGCUUGCAUAAUGCGUGGCGCUAAUUCCGUAAUUUCCAGCCUCAAGAUAAAGAUUACCUCAUUGAUGGCAGCCCCACCAUCUCUUUCUGCCUCUAGUAGAGCCUCAAGCACUAUAAUAUCUGUGCUCAGACUGCUCUCCGGCGGUGUUGCCUCUGAACUGCUACCAUCUGGUAACAUGGAUGGCACACUGCUUCCACAAAUAGAUUCUGGGGUUGUACAUUGUGUCCAAGUGUGAACGGCAUCCUGGAAGGUUUUCGCUGGACAUCAGUAAGAGAUAGUUAUCGUAUGAUCCAGGCAGUAAGCUUACAUGGUAAACGAUGGAUGAAUUAUUGCCGAGCAUGGCAAACUAUAUUUAAAUGGUUCGAAGCAGCAUCAGCCGAAAAGAAAUUAAAAUUGUAAGAUGAAACUAGGGAUGUAAGUGGCAAAUAAACGACAUCCGCCAGUCCCAUCUAGUUAGUUUUUGCUACCUCCCUAGUUCAUUUUCCACAAAAAACAAAAACUCUUUUGAACUAUCAUACCACUAGUGGACUUUAAUCGGGAUUAAACGGGACCCAGUUGACAUCCCUAGUUGAAAGGGAGUGUACAACCGCUAUAUUUAAGUUGCCAAGGCAUCUAAGCAGUUGAAAUAAUCUGAGAAAGCACUUAACAGUGUGGCCUCAUAUAAACUACCAAGACAGUCUUGUGAUGAAGUUGAGAGGAAAAGUUAAGGACUCAAAUGAAAUAGGCAUGCAUUUCUUUACGAUAGUACAGCAGGCACUGCUGACAUAUUGGACAACUCAGGUAUAGCAUAACAACAAAUAAGCAUUCGAAUCAAGCAAUACAGCAAAGCAGACAACUGAACUAUUUGUAAUUCGGUAGGAUUACAUGUUGAGGGCACAAGCCAAGAAAGCAGCCCACUCGCAUUACAUUUCACAUGUACUAAAACACACUGGCUUACCAUAUGUUGCUGUGAAGCCUAGCUGCUGUUGCAAUGUUCUUUGAAGAUAUCGUCAGCAUCCCGUGGUUGCAAAUCUAGUUGUUGUAGUUUAUUCUGCACCAUCUAUUUAGGUAAAAUUAAUUUUAAUCGCAUGCACUGGUCCGAAUUGAUCAUCAAUGGUUCAUCUAAACUAAUGAAAGAAGGGUGUGUGCAUACACGACAAUAUACCUGCUUCCCUCUAUUUUUAUGCUUGUUCGAGGUGCCAGCCCCAAAAGAACAAAUAUUUUGCUUGAUGGGGUUGGCAGCUCCAUAAUUAAUAGAAGCAUCAAAUUAGUCAUGCAACUUGGGAAGAUCAAGAACACACAAACAAGUAAUGAACAGAGGCUCGGAGCGGUGAUGUAAUAGCUAGCAUCAGAAAAUGUAGGGUAAAAUGAACAAAAAGCAGCGGAACCACAUGCUAGUUUGCUGAUGUGUAAUUAAGCAUAGAGAACAUUAAGCAGUCUGAUGGAACCAACAGGUGGCAUCAGAACAAAACUAAAGCAUAUUAACUAUAUGUGCACUAAUAUGUAAUUUAGCACAUGUAACAUGUUCACUGCCAGAAGAAUGGCCCUACAGGUGCAAGCAGAAUAACGCGUCUCAUGAAAAACUGAAUGAUGCCCUGAAGAAAUUCAAAGGUGCGGUGCUUAUGCUAGGAAAGUGAACGUAGGCGCCGGCCGUUGGAUAAUAGUACCUGAUUCUCGGCGGCGUAUGGGUAUCGUUGUCAUACUUGAUAGCUAAGGAUCGUCGAUGGUGCUCGUGUUGCGGUUGAGUUUGGGCCGGCUGUCGUCGUCGCUGAAGCGGCUCCGGUGCUACGGUUGCGGUGCCUGUCGACAUACAAGAAAGUUCAUCUGUGGUAAGUGAACAGUUGCACGAUAAAGAGAAAAACCGAAGGAGUACAAAUUGAAAUAACCUGAUGAGGCUGCGGCGUCGGUAAAGCAGGGCCGGUGGAGUUGAAUAUGGUGUCUAUGGAGCGGGUCCGGUGUAGUGGACGAAGGCUUCGACGGGCCUGUUGUACAGUGCUUUCGGUGAGGCGGAUCUGUUGCGGCGGACGAGGGCUUGUAUGAAGGGCCAGCGAAGGGGCGGACGAGGGAGUCAGUGAAGGGCCUACGCUACGGUGGACGAGGGCACCGGUUAAGCAGAUCCGGUGCGGUGGACCAUGAUGGCGGUCAAGGAGAUCUGGAGCGGUGGACAAGCCAGUCGCUGAAGCGGCUCCGGUGAAGUGGUGAGUUGGCAGUUGGGGGUUCCAAGGUGCGGAAGGUAGAUCUGGCGGGGUGUGAGGUCCACCGCUGCGGCGGAGGACUAGAUUCGGCGGCUUGCCGUGGUUGGGGGGGUCGGGGAGGGGAAGGGGAGGGGCUCUGGGGAAGAAUGUUAGGGGCAAAGAGGGGAAAACAAUGGAGUUACCAAAGCAGCCCUUUUCCGUUCAUGUGGCAGGGGUAAAACAGGAACAUCGCAGGGCUAAACUUUCGGGCGCGUGAUAUUUCGAUGUGAGCGGGAAGUUUGAAAGCUUUUCGCACCUAAAAAUAUAAGUAUUCUGCUCUCGUACGACCGACUAUGAUAUCAUGGCCGACAAUUUGUUUGUUUUGCACGCAAAAAAUGUGCAAGUUUUGAAAAUCAAUGUCUCCAACUCGAAACUUAGAUUGUCCAUUCAAUUCAAACAUGGUUCAUUGAGCUACUACAAGCAAAUACCAUCAUACGGUCCAGUUCAAAUGAAAUUCCAAAUGUGUUUAUCCUAAAUAUGAUGACAAAAGCAAAAAUGUGUAUGUGUAUGAAUAAAGUGGAUGAUUAUAAAGUUUGAACAUGCCCGUAUGUGUAUAUCUCUAGGUUUGAUAUAUGAAUUUGAAAUCACAAAAUCCCGGCUUAAAAAAUGUACCUCCGUUUAAAUGAAUUACAAAAGCUAAUGAUGGAGUCGAAUUCCAAAAUUCCAAUCUUAGGUUUGUAAUUCUGGUACAUCAAGGUAUAUCACGCAUGUUGAAAAGUAUCAUUAUCUCAUAGUACAAACUGUGAAACAAAUUGAUCAACCAUGAGUGCACAAUAUCUCAAUUACGCUAAAGUCCCUCAAAUAUAGACACCUCACUCUUUAUCUGAAGUCAACCCCCCACCACCACACACACACACACAUAGAGAAGUCGUUCUCUCCCCCAAACACCAACACACGAGCACAUUAACACCCCUCUCUCUUGUAAAGUCCGGACCCCAACAUAGGUCUCUAUCACUUUGUCUCUCGGGCAUGCACACAUGUCUUCCCUCACUCUCUAGGUCUCCCGCUAUCUCUCUUACCCAAGAACACACACUAUGUAGAGUGUAUAUUUCCCAUACACACAAAACGUUGCCCCCAAACGUCUAUCUCCCUAGUUAUGUGGUUCUCGCGCACUCACCUCACACACCACCCCCACUACAAACAAGCACACUUUGUCUCCUUGUGCACCACUCUCCUCUUUCUAUCUAUCCCACAUGCGGACCCGCCCCAGCUCCUUCCCUGUAUACAUAUAUGUCGUGACUCUUUGCAUAGCUCCCUAAUGUAUAAUCGUUCUCGAUUUCGCACAUUGUUCUCUACACCAUCUAUUCUAGAUCUCUCAUGAAGUCCCUAUCACACACACGAUGACUCGCUUCCCUUGCGUCUCCGUUCAUAGGCCAAUUUCGGAUAACAUCAACAUUGUCUCCCUAUCUAUACGCCAUUUAUGGACACAAACGACCCCUCUCGCCCCCUCUCUUCCUCUCUCUCUCUCUCUCUCUCUCUCUCUCUCUCUCUCUCUCUCUCUCUCCGUCGCUAGCUCUCUCUUUCUCUCGCUCUCACACCCCUCUCCCACACACACACUCGAUGUCUCUUCCAAAUAGUCUGCUCCCCCCACCCGCACCCGUGCUAUCUCGCUACUACACAUGUCACACCAUUCCCCUUCCCUUAUACUAGGUUUACAUCAUCAGUGGUCUCUCUACUCCACAUACACUCUCUCCCUCUCACACACAAACGCAUGCACAAACACACACAGACACGCACAAACACCCAUUUAUCUGGAUCCUCAUCUCUCCUCAUGUCCGCAUGUGUAUCUCACACACUCACUCUCUAAUUAUGUAUAUGUGUCUCCACGUUACACAACACAAAGCCCCAUGUACAUGUCUCUCUCUAUCCUCCACACACAUAGACACAAAGAAUCUGUUAUCAUUGCCUUAGUCUCUAACAUAUCACACACGCACACUGUCUCUCUCUCUCUCGCAAACACGCUCAACAAGGGUUUCCCCGUGAAUAACUUACCGUCUAUUCAUCAACAGUCGUGGCAGUACGGCGAACACGAGACGUGAAAAAAGAAUAAAUCUACACGUGCUUAGACCACCUAGUAUGACUACUAGGACUAGAGCAAGCCAAAAAGCGUGCCGCCGUCACCCCCUCCUUGUCGGCGACGGGAAAAUCUUUGUUUUACACAGUCGAGAAGUCAUUGUGCUAAGGCCCCACAUGCUGAGGUGUUGAAUAGAAUGUAGAUGCUAGUUUACGGAAGCAAGUAUCGAUAAUAUGUUUGUAUCUCCAUACUUAUAUUUCUUCUCUUAUAAAAAACCGAGUUGGUGAUGAUGGUACGUGUGCCAUCUUGCAAUAUAGACCGUCCGAUCUAUAUCUGAUGGAUGGAAAUUAAACUAAAAGAUACCCGCACCCCUCUCCACAUUUGGAGACAAGGCCUUCCCUCGUUCAUCCUUAUCUCCAACAAACCUCAUUGUUGAGCAAUUAAGAAAGGAAGCCUCUGGAACAAACUGGCCUGGUGGCCGCUGCCGGCGUCGUCAAUCCCCAUGCCUCCGCUCAGUCCGACCACCAACCACCACCACACCCCACUCCUCUUCACCUUAUCUCAUAUUUCUCGAGAUAUCAUUAGUUUUUACACAUGGGAUUACUCCCGCAAGGGUCAAUCACAACAGUGUUUUAUAAAAAAAUGCAUCUUGAUGUUCCAUGCAAUGCACGGAUCUUGCUAUUACUCCUACACAAGACUAAGUUGGUGAUGCUGGUGUGUCUGCCAUCCGUCGUUUCUGACCAUUAGAUCUACAUCUAACGAUUGUGAGGUAAGUUGUUGCCUUUUCUUACCAACAUCCCACUUGUCUACCAAUUUGCAGAAAAACCCAUAAUUAGUAUCUUAAAACCAACCACAUCCCUCCCUGACCUCACCCAAACAGCCCAAGGAAUAUAUUCUAAUUGAAACAUAAUAUAUCUCUAGUGACAUAUGUAUAUCAAAAUUAGAGUGUUUUGUACCAAGUUUGUGAAUAAGUAUUAUUCUAAUUAUGAUUCGUUGCAACGGACAUGAACAUUGCUAGUAUUUCCAACCAUGCAUUUUUUCCUAGUAUUCCAUAGUUUCGAGUUUUCCAUCAAGAUAUUAGUCACUCAUGGUUGAUAUUUACUUUCAAUCAUGUACCCAUAUGCACUAUGUAACUAGCCUUGCUUAUUGGCUUCCAAAGCUUAACUUUCACUCCUACUUACAAUAUGUAGAGUAUUUAACAAAAAACUACCACUUUCAGCCAGCCCUAGGAAGAAUCUAUUGUACAAAAAAUAGCAAAAACAUACCCAAAAUUUCUUAAUCCACGCUAAAAACUACCUAGUACUCCUACCGAUUAGGUUCGUUUAAACCCAUUUAUGACAGGGUUGGCCCACACGUCCGUGCUGACGAGGCAGCUUAAACCAACACAUUUUGUUUGACCGUUGACACGAGGGACCCACAUCUGACCUUCUAUCCUGUUAUUCCCCCUCAAAUCAUUAUUUUUCCUGAACAUUACUUCAAACAGUACGGAUGCGUAUUCGUCGGUGGCGCCGGUGAUGAGCGAGUUGGCCGCCGCUCCGCUGGACGGGCCGGAUGCCGCGGUGGCCUCCGCACGGGUUGGCAGGCUGGCCCGAGCGUGACUCACGAGCGAGCAAGCCGCCGCGCUGGCCUUCGCUCGAGCCAGAUGGCUGGCCUUAGCGCGGCGCGCGCGAGCAAGCGGCCGCGCUGCCGUGCCAAUCUAGCUAGCAAACCUUGCAGACAAGCAGCUGGACGGAGCUAUCUUGGCUAGCUAGCGGCCGCGAGCAACGGACGGAGCUGGCAUCCGGGCUACCGCAACAUGGGCUCCGCACCGCCGGCGGUUUUGACCUCGCCUUCUGCCGGCGGCGGUAGCUGCGUCCCAUGGCCGAGGAUGACUAGGAGGACGGGCCAGAGGUAGGAGGUCACUCGAGGAUUUUUGUUGGUAAGAGCAUGUACAAUGGUUGAUAAGGUAGUCUUAUCUUAAGUCUGCCACGUAUGCAAGUGGUAGUAGUUUCUUGGCAUUUUAGUGGUUUCUUGCAUUAUUAGAGCAAGUACAAUAGAGCCGAGUCAGCGGGCUAUAAGAAAUAAACUAGUAUAUUUCUUCUUAGUUGGAGGAAAGAGAAGAGGAGAGAGAAGGUAAGCGGGUUCGUGAAGAGCCAGCUCUAGCACGUGCUCCUAGGCACUAUGUGAGAAUGAGAAGUGGGCCACAUAAUAAAAAAGUAGUACACUCUUUUGAUCUAUUAUUGUACAUGUUGGCUAUAAGAUGAGCUGUAGAUGACAUGGCACUGGCUUAUAGCCAGCAGCUGGCUAUACUAUUAACCAUGCUCUUAGGGGUUUCUUGUAAGGAACAAUGUACGUACUACUAGCGACAAAAGGCGAUUCUAGGUUGCGUUGUACUCCAACGAGUACUACUAGUGGUCGCGGGAGUGUAUACCUCAUUUUGUGGGUUCAAUCCCGGCCGAACGCACGGCGGCCUUUUUUUUAAAAAUAGUACUACUACACUUCGCUGCAAGCCAAUAUUCACGGGUAGUUUGAGUUUUGAAGUCUAACGGACGUGCGGCCCCACAAUCUGGGUGCACUGGAUAGCCUAGCCACGUGAACGGGUUUUCCUUCCCAGCAUCCCGUGGCUCGCGUGCUCGCCCUAGCCGCAUCUCGCUUGCAGCUUCCAGCUAGUAGCAUAUUUAAACUAGCGCCUCCCAAUUAAGCCCGAGGAGCCGGAAAAGCCUGGCGGGGCAUUGGGAACUGUGCAAUAUGGCUCUGUACGUAAAGUGCUCUACUACUACUCUGUAGCUUGUGGCGUUACACGCAUGGACUUCACUCCAUUAUCGGCUCUACUAUAAAAGAAAUUCCUCUUGACGUGUUUUUUUGAAACGGAGGCAAAAGCUGUGCUUCAUCUCAUUCAUAAAGAAGGAACUACUAACAAAGUUUGACGAGAUCCAUUACACCUCCACAAAUGGAAGCGAAAAGCCUAGUCUCGCUGUAUCAAAUAACUCAAAUGUUCUGCCCCCGCAGUAACCGUCGCUGAUAAACAGGCUGUUAGUGUGUGCGUGAGAGGAGCGGCUGAGUAGGCCAGCUACGUGAGAGGAGCGGUUGAAUAGAGCACCGAGAGUACCCACUAGGCCACUACGCAGGUGUACUUCCCCUGCAUUGAUAGUACAGCGAUGGUUCUAGAGAACAAUAGUACCCUCCACUUCCAACUGUAGCUCCUUGGCCCUGAGAUUCAAGAGUUCAAAACUGGUGCACUAUACUAGACUAGACUAGAAGUACAGUAAAACGCACUACUAGUUGAGAAAAGUAGUACUAGUACUGCUACAGUACGAGUACGUACUCCUCCGUCACAUAAUGUAAGACGUUUUUUGACACUAGUUGGCGUGUACAAAAAAUGGCAAAAACAUACCCAAAAUUUCUUAAUCCACCCCAAAAACUACUACCUAGUGCCAAAAGUUUCUUACUAGUGCUAUUAUUUACAGUAUAAUGCAAUCCCAUAACGUUCCAUAAUGCUAGUACUUGUAGUAAAUAAUAGCCUCGCCCCUUCGCUAAGGAACGAUCUACAGUUGGAAGGGACGAGGCCCUGCGGUUACUACGCUCUUAUCUCCUCCUCGCCAGUUCCCCUCCCCCGAAGAGAAGGCAGUUCGUCGCUGCUCCCAUGGAUUCUCUAGGCGGUUCUCCUCCUCGUCGGGGCUGGGAGACCUUGGACGAUGAUCCUCUGGGAGAAAUCGCACGCCGCUCCGACUUCCUCACCGCCGCAAGACUCGGUGCUUCCUGCACCAACUUUUUCAAGACGCUGCUUAAGCAGGCUCGGGAAAAGGCCAUGCUUGUUGGUCUUCCAUGCGUCCUCGAGGAGAAGGUUCUUUUAUGGGACAGUCCUUCGAACAGUCCACCGCUCCCUGGCCAUGGUUGCACGUUGACUCCGCUAGAGUUGCCGACGUUGAGAGGUAGUCGGAUUUUGUCCGAUGAACAGGUCAGUAAUGGAGUUUGAUCAUGUAGUACUUAGUUAUUCCAUUUCCAUCCCGUAAUUUCUCUGCUGCCCACCGUCUUAUAUAUAGGUCUGGGUUGGUGCCAACGAAGAUUGGCUUGCAUACCUCCGGCCGGAUACCACCAUCAUUUUGCACAACAUCCACAGCAGUGCGGCCAUUUCGGUAGACCCCUUCUCCACCAUUGGGAUCGGCCUUCCGGACUGGCUGGGCUUGAGGCUUGAAUACGUAUGAUGAUGCCUACAUGAGAUUGAAGAAGAUAGCAAUUGCGGACCCGCCGACAAAGCGACGCGGCUACGACGAUUACUAUCUCAUCACGGUGUUCGACAUAAGAAUUGCCAUCAAUGCAAGAGGCAGUAACGGCAGAGGCUGGCGCAUGUUGGCGGCGGCAGAUUUGUACCCCUACACGUUCGAAGACGCCGUGUGCCAUCUAGGCCGCAUAUUCGCGGUGACAAGCCAGGUGACUUGUUUCAUCUGGUUGCCAUCCUACGGUACGGGAGAUUACAAACAGAAUGCACAAACCAUCAUUUGCAUCCCUAACGGUACUCCAUUAUUUUGCAGGGACCAGUCAUCCCCCGAUCAAAAUAAGAUCGCCGAUCCUGGAUGUGCAUUUGCAUCCGCGAUUCGGUCUAACCUGGAACCUUGUAGCUGACUUUGGCAUAUUGGGAUCAACUAUCUUAGCAGUCGUUACCCAUGGUACCACUGAUGUGCAACAUGGUCACACAAUCUACCACGAUCGGACCAUCACCAUCUACCCAGGUAUUCCAUUUUUUAACCCUCUCGCCUUCUCUUUCAUUGUUGUACUAGUAGUAUACUUUGUAGUACUAGUAGGAGUACUUUUUACCUUGGAGGACGCGUAUAGCUAGCUAGGCCCUUAAAGACUUGAACCCACUAGCUGCCACCAUUUUUGUUUUUCCAUGUCUUACUAUCUCAUCCAUGUUGCCAAGAGUGGCUAUAUAUAAUAAGCCAGUUAUUUUACUUCCUCUAUACCGGAGUAGUACUAUUUGCUGCACAGUAUUACUGACCGCCAUAUUUGAGCCCAACAUUAUUAUGCAUGGACCUUGACUAUGUACGUCACCAUGUGUCCAGAUCUGGGAUGCCGCGUGUACGAGAUGAACAGCGCCGAGUUCGACCCCCGUGAUGCUACGUGGGUGCCGAGGAACACUCUUGGAGAGUACUCGCUUUUCAUCGGGGACAGCUACCCCAUUGUGAAGCGGAUGCCACCUUCCGUGCAUGACACGGAAGGCCUGCCGUUCAUGAAGCAUGGUUGUGUCUUCAGUGCGCACCGCCGGAUGAACGACAAGCUGGGACACGCUAUCCCUGAUUUAUGCCGCUUCAGCUUGGAUGAGUCUCCAUCGUGUGGAACCGGACUAGAAAGCUGCGACAAUGAUUCCCGUUGCCCACCGCUAUGGAUCGUGCCAUCCAUGAAGAACACAUGGGACUGGAACCUGGAGGAGGACAUGUAGCCCAUCUAUAACAUGUAAGUGGAGUACGGUAAUUGUGAACGGUAGCGCUGUGAAUAUAUGUAGACUAGUCGUGCACAAAUUUAUCACAUGAAUUGGAGAUGAACUUGUGUGGCAUACUAGUAAGUGUGUUACGUGUACGUGCAACUUGUGUGGUUGUUGCACGGGCUCCAACACGCUCUUUGAGAAAAAAAGGUGGCACAACUUUGGAUAUACGUGACGUGGCGACAUCAUACAGUAGCAUCGUUCGCUAUAGUUGUAGUACACUCCUACUAGGAUGCCAACUCCUAUAAAACCUUGCGCUUGGCUCUUUGCCUCUUCGGGAGGUUUAACAGUUCGUACUCUUGUGAACCUUGCACUUGGCUCUUCGCCUCUUCGGAAGGUCCAACAAUGAUGAUACUACAGUACAAUAUGCUUCUGGCAAUCUGACACCGAUUGAACUGCUGCACGUCCACCGCGAGGGCGAGGGCGAGGGAGAGGGAGAGGGAGAGGGCGCUGUAGUCAAAACCCUCUCCUCGUCCUGCGAACCACCGCACGCGUGGGCGAGGGAGAGGCGUAGUAAGCAAGCUUCUCCUCGUUCGGCGAGUUGACGGGACACAUCAAAGCAGUACUAGUACUAGUAGUAGUAGUCCAUACUGCGUCCUUUCCAAUUAAUAUGGCUUAAUUUGAAUCGAGAAAAAUACACUGGCGGUAAACAUAUGUAACAAUACGCUCUUUACGGUCACUAUAUAUAGUUUUGCGGCGAUUAUACGAUCACUAGCUCAUCGUAGAGCACUGUAUUGCACCCUACUGACAGGCCACAUAGUCGACGUGGCACUUUGUUGACUGGUUAAAUUGUCACCUGGUUUCUGGGUCCCACCUGUCAGUUGGCAGAGCAAAGAAAUCAGUGUUGCGUGCGUCCAUGUGUACGUGUGAGUGUUGCAUGUUGCAUGCAUGCAUGCAUGGGGCUUACUCCCUCCCAUUGACAUGUUCAUAUUUCAAGCUUCCUCUGUUCCCUCCAUAUGGUAAUACUCCCUCUGUUCCCAAAUAGUACGGAGUAAAAGCCUCCCUCUGUUCCCAAAUACGGAGUAUUUGUCUUUCUACAGAUUUCAACAAGUGACUAGGUACGGAGCAAAAUGAGUGAAGUGAGCGUAGAGGCAUUGGGAUACUGUAGAAAGGAAGUCCUCGCGAUCCAUUAUUCCCCAUCUCGGUCUGAGAGAACUAUUCAACUAGUCUUCGUAGUGAAGUGACAAUACACACUGUAGUAGAUGGGACACGUAAAUAAUAAGCUGAACCAUCGUGUUGGUGUUACUAAAUCAGCCUUACCCAGUACUGCCAUCAUGUUUGCCAGUAGAGCACGCUUCCGCAAAUAUGCCUACGCACCUCUGUCCUCCAUUAACUGACAUAUGGGCCCUGUUGUGGUAGACCCACAUGACAUCGGUGUAACUAUUUACACUCCGAAGGACGGUAUAUCCUGGUAGUAGUACUAGUAGAAUUGAGAUUGAAUGCACUUUCUUCCCCGUCUUCCACUCUUCUUCCACCUCUCUUCUUCUUCCUCCUCUCUUCUUGUUCCUCCUCUCUUCCCCAUCGUCGGCCGCACACCAUUUACCCCCGCUCACUGCUCGCCCGCCCGCGCCAUCUUCCUUGGUAGCUCGCGCGUACCAUAUCCCCCCACUCACUGCUCGGCCACACAAGGAGAAGCUUCUUUGCUCGCCCGCCCGAAUCCACUUCCCCGCUGGCUCGCAGGCACCGAAAACCCCAAUGGCAGAACCGACUGACACGCAGAGCCGCGAUUGGAAUUCCCUCCCCGAUGUUCUCUUGGAGCAGAUCUGUAGUCGUAUGGAUCUACUCAGCACCGUCCGUCUGGCCGCAUGCUCGGUGUCUUCGUACCGUCUACUCGUCUGCAAUCGGCCGGCUCUUUUCAAGACACCCUGCUUGCUGAUGCCCGAUCCUCGCAGGUGGCCUAGACACCGACUUGAUGAUCCUACGGAGGUUGCCGUGGUGCCCCUCGACAUGCUACCACUACCCGUCCACCUGUCCUUCAUGCGCGGCCACUACUGGGCGGGCAUGAAGGCCAACUAGAUCGUCCUCAUCCACCACACCGGUAGUCUGUGGCGUCUCGUGGAUAUCUACACCCAGCGAGAGAUCACCCUUCCAUCGUUGGAUACCGCCGCCAUCGAGCCUCGCGGCCCGUCGGACACUCCUGCCUACUACGCACGAGACGCGUCAAGCUUUUGGCCCGACCUCUGUUUGCAGAAAGUUGUAAUCUGCGAAGUGCCCACACCAUCCGAAGACUACAUGCAUUACAAGCUCAUUGCCUUGUUCAACAUGGGAUUAGUCUAUCUGGAAUCCGGUCGCCAUACAUGGUUAUGGCUCAUCAUCAAUCUUGUCGAGGCAACAUUUCUGUCUGAUGCUAUAGUGCACGAUGGCAUCGUUCACGCGGUCGACGCAUCGAUUGGCUGCCUAUACUGGUGGAAUCUAUCAUCGUGUAAUUGUUCUAUCUCAUCUCAUCUUUACCUUAUGAAUACGACUGCCUGUUCAUUUGUUACAAAUUUAGAAUGCAUAUCAUGUCUAUAACCACAUCAUUGCUAUAUGUUCCUAUCAUUUCCUAGAUUUUUAUGACCACACAUGUUAUUGUUAGAGUUGAUAUGAGAACAAUUGGCAUCUAAUGAUUGUUAGAAUACAUAUUAUGAGCAUAACAUCUUGAUUGCUAUAUGUUACUCUCGUUUACAAGAUUUUUAUAACAACGCAUGUUAUUGCUUAGAGUUGAUAUGAGAAUAGUAGUAGUAAGUGCUAUGGUAGAAUAUGAGUAGGCGCUGUCAUAGCUGUUUUCCUCUCAUUGUUACAUGAUGUUUGAACCAUGACAUAUUGCUAGAAUAUGAAAGCCAUUGGCUUAUUUUUUUAACUUGGGGUAUGAUUAUGACCACGACAUUGCAAUUCUCUGUCUAUGAUAUGUGUCACUGUUAUAAUAAUCUUAAUUCCACACAUACUCUGAACAUGAUUGUUUAUUUUUGUCAUUUUGGUCUCCAAUUUGAAUUGUUGCAGCAGAUGCAAAUGCGCUGGCCUUCAUGAUUCCAGGACCUGGAAUCAUACCAGCCGAUGGGUGGUGGUUUAUCGCUCGUUCAGCUGACGGCGAUCAUUUGAUGCUCAUUCGCACGUACCAAAUUGACCAAACCAUUACAUCAAACCACAUGCAGUACAAUGCGUGGGGCGUUCAUGACAUUGAUGGCUAUGGCUGCUUCGUGUUCGAGAAAGAUCCCAGCUCCGUUGGGCCAGGCGUAUUCAACUGCAGGCGGGUUUACAGCCCCGGCAACCACUCCUUGUUAGGUGACACAAGAAUCCCGGCGGCGUGUUCGGGUAUUCUGGACUUCAAAUUUGGAGUACCACUUAUUUGUCGAAAUCUUUCAUCAUUCACUUAAAACAGUCGAUUGAUCAUACAUUGAGUACCAUAUAACUGGAAUUACCGAUGCAAGUCGAAGAAGGAUUAGCCGGUGCUGCCGGCUGGCGUCAAGUUUGAUCCCACGGAUCAGGAGCUGAUCGAGCACCUUGAGGCCAAAGUGAGUGCUGACAGCGCGAGAUUUCAGUCUCUCAUUGAUUUGUUCAUACCAACCAUCGACAGCGAGCAGGGCAUAUGCUACACCCAACCUGAGAAACUUCCAGGUAAGACACCGAUCGGCCGUCUACUUGCACAAACAUAUUCCUUUGUUUAUAGCUCUAUUUUUCUUUUUAGACGCAGACCUGGUGAAGCAAUUACAAUUUGACAGUUAAUAAAAAGUGAAAGAAGUGACUGCAACAUGCCAAAGAUGUUAUGAAAAUGCCAACUAGGUACACUAAAACCUGUAUUCCACAAUACUGCAGGUAUCACACUGAGUGGCCUAAGGAAGCAUUUCUUCCAGCACAAUUCUAGGGCGUUCAAAAGGGGCACGUGGACGCAUCGCAAGAUACAGUCAGAGUGCGGCAUGCACGCAAUGUGGCACAAGACCGGCAAUACCUUGCCGGUGAUGGUCAACGGCCGGCAGACGGGCAGCAAAAAAGGUUCUGGUGCUGCACACCAACAAGAACUUCGACCAGCAGAGGACCAACUGGGUGAUGCACCAGUACCACCUCGGGGACCUGGAGCAAGAGAAGGAGCAGGAGCUGGUCCCCUGCAAGAUUUUCUACCAGACGAACACUAGGGCCAGGAGUAAAAAGAUUAUAAGUUAGUUUGGUAUUGGUAGUUGUACUACCUUGUCGUCCGCAAAUUGGUAUUGUUGUUAACGAUCUUUUGGUAUGAACUUGCAUUUGCUUCCAACCAUCAUGCCGAGGGUCGACGUGGAUAUAAAGCUGAAUCAUUUGUUUCAAAACGAAUUUUCAGGCACCUGAUUUUUAUUUGAUGGGUAGCAUAAGCACCCGCCGUUCGAAUUCCCAGUUCUCCAAUUUUUUCGAAACAAGUGCAUGCACUUAUUAUCACGAUAAAAAAACAAUAUCCGUGCUGCAUCCCAGUUAUCAGUCUGUACUUGCAGAAUUCUCUCAUUUAUUGAGCACGUAUAUUGUUUUUUCAGGUCGAGCAAGUUUCAACUGGGUUGUAGACUGCCCAGGGUUGGUUUUGUUUUUAACAGGCCCAGCCCAUGACGACAACGGGGCACAAAGAUCCAGCAGGUAUCUACUGGCCUCUGGCCCGCCAGCGUUACUUAUAUUUUGUCUUACAACAUCCGCAAGCAGUUUUUUUACUAAAUCAAACACACAGCCUAGUUCUAUUUUCCUCUUGAAACGCAUGUCCUACAUCCGUUUUCUAAUCUCUACCUAUAGUUUUACUAGUUCAUAUACACGUAUCAUUAUAUUGAAAACACAUAAAAUUCCCUUUUCAUAUAUACAUCCUUAUUUUUGUUGUUUUUUCCCACCCAGCGCUGUUUUUUACCACUGGUUUUCCUUAAACCAACUCAAUUGUCCCACGUCUUAUUUGCUUACAAAAACAAAACGAUUUUUUUGGCAAAUCAAUAAGUUCUUAAAAAAAUGUUUAUCAUUUCGGGAUUACAACAGUUCGGACUCCACCGAAAUAUGCAAAAUAAGGUUGAACUUUUUGACCGUGGUCCUGGGCAGAAAAUGGGCUGUAAUAAAUUACUUAAGAAUUAGCAAAUGGGCUGCAAAUUAUAAAAAAUAGCAAAUGGGCUUUAUGUUGUCUGCCACAGAUUUGGAGGCUGACUUGUGGGCGUACUAAGUUCAUGCGUACACAAGGUUUCUCAAAAAAGAAACUUAGUCAACAAUCGACUCUACCAGCAUCAGACCGUUAGAUGUCAAUCUAACGGCAAUCGUGCUUCUUCAGUCUCUGAUCUUCCUGCCCCAGCCGCCCAAACCAGCGCCAUCGGAACCGCCUGCUCCCGCCUCCCGUGGCCGGCAAUGCUGCCGGGCAGGCCUCACGGCCCCAUCAUACUAGCAUCCCUGGCCUGUCUAUCCCUCUACUCACCCACACCUCCUGUUAUUUUCCGGCUACGGCAACCGAACCAGUCAACCCUCGUACUCUCCACCGCGUGGGCAGCCACUGCCGUGUCUUCCCCGGCUCCGUGUCGUUCCCUUCGUAGGCCUCGCCAUCGUCCACCGCCCUGGUGCUCUCGGCGCGGCGUGGUCAACGAUGUCCAUCCAACGGCCGUAGUGCUUCUUCAACCUCUGGUCUUCUUGCCCCAGCCGCCCAAAGCAGCGCCGGUCGUGCCGCAUGCUCCUGCCUCCCGUGGCCGGCUGUGCUGCCGCGGAGGCCUCACCGUCCCCAUACUACUCCCACCGCUGGCCAGGCCAUCCCUCCACUCAUCCACUCCCCCUGUUAUUCUGCGGUGACGGCAGCCUCACACCGCAGCCGAACCAGUGAACCCUCGUACUCCUCUCCGCGCGGGCAUCCACUGCCGCGUCUUCCCCGGCUCCGCGUCGUCCCCUUCCUAGGCCUCGCCGUCGUCCACCGCCGUGGUGCUCUCGGCGCAGCGUGGUCAAUGUGGUCAACGACCGACUUCCAUCGGAAGCGUACUGUACGUGGAGAGGCUGACAGCUGGGUCCACGGCAGCCGCAAGGAAGUGCCUCCUUAUUACGCGCAAAAUAAUUAUUCCUCCACCUGACAGCAGGGACCCACCGGACGGGCCACCAGUAUUUUGCGGAAAAAACGUUUGCCCCUGACUGCUGGGACCCACCGGACGGGCCACCGUAUUUCGUGGAAAAAACGUUUGCCCCUGACUGCUGGGACCCACCGGACGGACCACCGUAUUUCGCAAAAAAACGUUCCCCCCGCUGUCAGCUCAGACCCACCGGAAGUGCCUCCUUAUUACGCACAGAAAAAUGAAUACCCCCUGCUAGCUAGGACCCACCAUGGUGGGAGGCUGACUUGUGGGCCUACUAAGUUGACGGGGACGGAGGGCUUUGUCAACUUAGUCAAUAUGGACGAUUCUAGCUCCAGUGACCGUACGAUGUCCAUCCAACGGCCGUCGUGCUUCUUCAAUCACUGCUCUUCCUGCGCCAGCCGCUCGAACAAGCGCCGGCGGGACUGCCUGCUCCCUCCUCCCCACGGCCGGCUCUGCUGCCGCGCAGGCCUCACCACCCCACCGUACUCCCAUCGCUAGCCUAGCCAUCCCUCUACUCACCCACACCUGCUGUUAUUCUCCGGCGACGGCAGACGAACCAGUAAACCCUCGUACAGUCGUACUCCCCUCCACGUGGGAAACAACUGCCGAGUCUUCCCUGCCUCCGUGUCGUUCCCUUCCUAGGCCUCGCCGUCGUCCACCGCCCUGGUGCUCUCGGCGCGGCCUGGUCAACGUGGUCAACGACCAACAUGCAUCUGAAGUGGACUGUACGUGGAGAGGCCGACAGCUGGGGCCACGGCCGCACGCAAGGGAGUGCCUCCUUAUUACGCUCAAAAUAAUGAUUCCUCCACCUGACAUCAAGGACCCACCAAAAGGGCCUCUGUAUUUCGUGAAAAAAACUUUACCGCCACUGACAGCUCGGACCCACCAGCUAUAUCUUCGCACGCAAGGAAGUGCCUCCUUAUUACGCACAAAAAAAUGAAUACUCCUCCUGUUAGCUGGGACCCAGUAUAGUGGCAGGCUGACUUGUGGGCCUACUAAGUUGACGGGGACGGAGGGCUUUGUCAACUUAGUCAAUAUGCACGAUUCUAGCUCCAGUGACCGUACGAUGUCCAUCCAACUGCCGUAGUGCUUCUUCAACCUCUGGUCUUCUUGCUCCAGCCACCCAAACCAGCGCCGGUCGUGCCUCGUGCUCCUGCCUCCCGUGGCCGGCUGCGAUGCGGUGGAAGCCUCACUGCCCCCUACUACUCCCACCGCUGGCCAGGCCAUCCCUCUACUCACCCACACCCCCUGUUAUUCUGCGGCGACGGCAGCCUCACACCGCAGCGAACCAGUGAACCCUCGUACUCCUCUACGCGUGGGCAUCCACUGCCGCGUCUUCCCCGGCUCCGCGUUAUCCCCUUCCUAGGCCUCUCCGUCGUCCACCGCCCUGGUGCUCUCGGCGCGGCGUGGUCAACGUGGUCAAGGAACGGCUUCCAUCGGACGUGGACUGUACGUGGAGGGGCUGACAGCUGGGUCGACGGCCGCAGCAAGGAAGUGCCUCCUUAUUAUGUGGAAAAUAAUUAUUCCUCCACCUGACAGCGGGGACCCACCGGACGGGCCACCGUAUUUCGCGAAAAAAUGUUUCCCCCCUGACUGCUGGGACCCACCAGCUACACCUUCGCACGCAAGGAAGUGCGUCCGAGCAAAAAAAAAACAAAACGAUUCGCCCCCCUGACUGCUGGGACCUACCAGCUACAUCUUCGCACGCAAGGAAGUGCCUGACAGUCGGGACCCACCUGGUCUAAGCGUACGUAGCGUUGUCAUUCUGGUCGCGAACGUGUACGUACGUAUAUACUGGUGGAUGUAGAGGCGCGCACGUGUCGUAGUAGAGGCGUGUACAUGUCGUAGUAGAGACGCACACAUAGCAUGUACACGUACGUAUAGCGGCCAGGGUGCAAGAAAGAAAAUACGGCCACGUAUGUGUAUAUACGGGCGGGGUCUCGAACGCCUACUCGCGCAUACGUACGGCCAGGGCUCGUGUACAUGGCUGGGUCGGAACGGAGAAACAGCGUCGUCGUCGUGUUCAUGGGGAGGCAAUGGAAUGCGUCGUGUUCAUGGGGAGGCAACGGAAUGCGUCGUGUUCAUCGGGAGGCAACGGAACGCGUGGGAGCCAACCGGCUGGGUCGGAACGGAAUGCGUGGUCGUGUUCAUCGGGAGGGCUUGGACGGAACAGGCGAUGGAAACGAGGCCUGGCGUACCGCAGAACGGAGAAAACGGACCUCCUACGGUCGAAACGGGGGUCCUAUUGAUCGGGAGGGGUGUGGCGUACCGCAAAACGGAGGAAACGGACCUCCUACGGUCGAAACGGGGGUCCUGUUGAUUGGGAGGGGUGUGGCGUACCGCAAAACGGACGAAACGGACCUCCUACGGUCGAAACGGAGGUCCUGUUCAUCGGGAGGGGUGUGGCGUACCGCAAAACGGGACUCCACGGGAUACUGUUCAUCUCCACCGUCGACCUCCUCCAGCCUCCACGGGCUACCGUCGACCUCCUCCAGCCUCCACGGGCUCCUGUUCAUCCAGCCUCCACCGCGCGCUACUCCACCAGCUACUGUUCAACCACCCCUCCACCGUCUACUGUUUAUCCAGCCCUCCACACCACGGGGUCCUGUUCAACCACCCCUCCACGGGCACCCCUCCACCGUCUACUGUUCAUCCAGCCCUCCACACCACGGGGUCCUGUUCAUCCAGANNNNNNNNNNNNNNNNNNNNNNNNNNNNNNNNNNNNNNNNNNNNNNNNNNNNNNNNNNNNNNNNNNNNNNNNNNNNNNNNNNNNNNNNNNNNNNNNNNNNNNNNNNNNNNNNNNNNNNNNNNNNNNNNNNNNNNNNNNNNNNNNNNNNNNNNNNNNNNNNNNNNNNNNNNNNNNNNNNNNNNNNNNNNNNNNNNNNNNNNNNNNNNNNNNNNNNNNNNNNNNNNNNNNNNNNNNNNNNNNNNNNNNNNNNNNNNNNNNNNNNNNNNNNNNNNNNNNNNNNNNNNNNNNNNNNNNNNNNNNNNNNNNNNNNNNNNNNNNNNNNNNNNNNNNNNNNNNNNNNNNNNNNNNNNNNNNNNNNNNUCGAUCGGCUUCAGUUAGCAGCAGUAGCGAAGGAAUCGCUCGAUCGGGUUCAGUUAACAGACAUCGAUCGAUCGCUCGGGUUCAGUAAUGCGUAGCCUGCAGUGUAAUCGCUCGGGUUCAGUUAGAGCCCAACCCCUCGCUCGGGUUCAGUUAGAGCCAACGCCUCGCACACACGCGCGUACGUGUACGAGAGAAACGCACAUCGCUCGGCCCCCGACCUACCACCGUAACCGGGAACUCCCCGAAAUUUUCCUCGCCCUCGCUUCUACCAUGGUUUUUUCCGUCAUGGACGGCCCAAAGAAUGUCAUGUAGCUGCGUCUCCGCCCGCCCAGGACGAAAAGCCCAUUUUCUGUCAUGAUUUUUUGUCAUAGAAGUAGGAGCCCACCACAUCUAUGAUGAUACCGGGUUUUGUCACAAUUAUCGUCAUAGAAGUGUCACAUGUAUGACAGAAAAAAAUUUCGUUUGGCCCAAAAUGUCACGGAUGUGUCUUUUUUUGUAGUGUAAGGGGCCUCUGAAACCGGGACAAAUGGGCCGGUUUCUACCAGUGGAAGCUCCAUCCUCCUUUCUCGUCCUCUCUUCCUUUUCUCAUAUCAGCUUUCAUCCAUCUCCCAUACUGUUGCACCUCACCUCUCCCUAGUCCAAUAGAACACGCCUUGUCCACGUGUCCAAUUAUACCACACGUGUAACAAAAAUCAGGGAGGUACUCAUACUCUAGGGGGCACCAUUUUUGCUCAUCAUCUUUCUUCUUUCUUUUAUCCACGUCCAUCACUUCUGCAGACUCCUUGUCUUCUCCCGUUCAAUAUCCAAAGUGAUUCCUCUCAACAGUGGCUUUGUAAUGUCUAGUCUAACUUUCAGCCUAAGGAAACUUCCAGCCACAUUAUCAUCAUCCCCCUGGUUACCUCCAUGAACUCGCCAAUCUCGUCACCAAUGAUCCCUCCGUUUUCUUCACUCAUGAAACCUAGCGGCAUCUUGGUCACCCUGACCCAAAUAGGGAUGAUAGUGAACUCAUACUCUUCUAGCGUUUUAGCUGGGUCGAAAUCUACCAUCACAAUCAGGUUCUUGCCCACCAUCCAUGGCCCUUCCUCCAAUGCUUUCCUCUUCCCCGCUGCUUGCAAGAAGGUGAAAAGAAAGGUGUUGUCCUCUAACUCCUUGCACUUGAUUCCCUUGAUCGGACACCACGCUCUUCCGAGGGAUUUAAUCAUACCUUCCACAUAUACUGGUUUGUCGGACAUAACCUUACCGAUCGCCUGUGGAUCUUCCGUUCCCGUUCUCCUCAACCCGCCCCUUCCGAUCUUGACUCCCUUCUUCUCUGCUUCUGGCAACCGCAACUUCUGCAUCAAACCUUCCACUUUCUCCAUUGUGUCGAGGACUUGCAUCAAUCUAUGGUUUACUAGGUGGUUGUAUUACGAAUGGAUGCCCUAGCAACACUCGUAAGGCUUUUGGUGGAUGGGUGAGCGGUCUCGAGAUCAAUCUAGCAAGGAUCGCCGAGGCUAGGGGGAGAGUUUGCUGGCGUCGGCCAGAGACGGGGUCGCCUGAGGGGACUCUAGGGUUUACCAGGAGUCACCGUAGAAUCCCCUGGGAAUCGCCCAAGCGCCAAUCAUGGAACCGUCACCCAAGGGACGGACGGGUUAAGGAUGAUAAUUAAAGCGGACUUUGAUAGAGAGACACGUGAGAAAUAGAGUGAUAGAGAGAGAUACGUGAAAAUUAAAGCGGUUUUAAUUUCUUUCUUUUCUGUAAUUAAAGAGAUACGCAUGAGAAAUAGAGAGAUAAGAGAGAUACCUGAGAAUUAAAGCUGUUUUAAUUUUUUCCGUUUCUAUGAUUAAAGAUCUGAUCUACACAGUUACAAUCUUGACCUGCAAAAUCAACGGCCUCCAUUUUCUAUUUUUCUCUAAUUAAUGUGGGAAUUUCUUGGGAGUGCCUAUUAGUAUAGGUAUAUAUAUGUGCAAAAAUCUCGACAUUAAUGAACAUAUAUCUGGUGCACUUGCAAUCUUUUGUAGUACAUUAAUGAAUAUUUAAAGUAUUUUCCAACUCUUGCUAUUUAUAGACUUGUCGUCCGUGUCUGCCACAUUUGGAGUCCAACUAUUUCCUACUGGAACCUUACACUCCACUAGAACUGAGUUUGUCAAGUAACAGAUAACCAAUAUGAGAGGGAGCAGCCUAGUGCAGGCGACGAUGAUAUUCUUCAUUGGAUGCCUUGUGCUUUGUGCACAGUGUAAGUAUAUAUCAUCAUCGUCUUUAGAAUCUUGUGUUAACUUCUUGCCACUAAUUCUUCGGAUCAGACAUACAUACACACACACAUCUGCGGUACUGCAUACUAAGGUUAAAUAUACUAUACAGGUGCUCUCGAUAAUAAGCAAAGGAUGGUCAACCAGGAUGAUCAUGCGGCGAACACAAGUACCAACGCUACCAUCAUCAACUCAACAACUGUAGGCGAGAGCAAGAAAACCGAGAAAUUUUGCAGCCUCUUUCUCGUAUGUUAUUUCAACAUUGAGAUUCGUGCUGAGUGCUACUGUUGCGAGAAUAAGAAUGCCGACUGUUACAAGACGAAGAGUGAGUGCCUGCAAAAGUGCCAUUCCUACAACGGUUAAUGCCCACCUUCAUCGCGGUCUUUGGGAUAGAAUUCCAUAUGCUUGGAAAAUUUGCCCGUCGGUAAUAAAAGGCACCUUAUAUGGUUUGGGCAAUUAGGUUCCAAUUAAACAUGAGAAAGCCCGCAUGUUUCCGUGUAGAUCCAACAAGGAAAAAUUUGAUGAAAGAAAUCCAAGUAACUAGUUGUCUUGCAUAUUUACAAAGUUCAAAUCCUUUGGUUGUUGUGCUUUGACUCGAUUGUCUAUUAUGCUGUUUCAUUUACUUGCACAUUGCCCACUUGUUCAUUUAACACACAUCACCCACUUGGUGAUUUG